UUGACGCAUAAUCUCCUUCGUCUCCUCUGGAUUGGUACAGUAUGGUGCACGGUUGGGUAGCGAAGCACCGGGAAUUAAGUCAAUUUGAUGCUCAAUCCCUCGAAUAGGUGGUAAUCCCGGUGGCACGUCUUGUGGAAAGACGUCAACGAACUCCUGCAAAAUGUUAGUGACAGCAGGGGGCAAAGAGGAAGGCACGUCCUCGAAUGAAAAUAAUGCCUCUUUGCACACAAAAGCAUAGCAAACAGAUUUGCUAAAAUCUAGCUCAUCAAUAUCAGAUUUGGUGGCAAGUAAACAUGCACUUUUCAAUUUAAUUUCAGAAACAACAGUAGAUGGUUUAUUACUAGGCUUCAUUUGGUGCUCAAAUUCUUUUGCCACAAUCUGAUUUUCACCCUUAUUUAUCUCCUGUUUUGCUUUGUUAGCUCUAUUAAUAUCAUCUUUCAAAAUGGAAUCAGGAGUCAUAGGAAGCAAAGUAAUAUUUUUAUCGUUAUGAACAAGAGUACACUGAUUGUUUCUACCAUGGUGUACAUAAUUCUUAUCAAAUUUCCAUGGUCUACCAAGUAAUAAGGAACAUGCUUGCAUAGGUACCACAUCACAAUCAACAUAAUCAGCAUAUGUAGAGAUACUAAAAUGCACACGAACAGUACGUGUUACCGUAAUCUUGCCGCUGUUGUUGAACCAUUGGAUGUAGUAAGGAUGUGGAUGUGGUCUUGUGGUGAGAGAUAGCUUCUCCACCAUCUCCAUGCUAGCCAAGUUAUUGCAGCUCCCUCCAUCUAUGAUCACGCGAACAGAACGUUCCUUCACAACUCCCUUUGUAUGGAAUAAAUUAUGCCUCUGAUUUUGCUCAGCUUGUGUAACCUGCACACUCAAAACACGUUGAGCAACUAAACAUUCAUACCUGUCAGCAUCUUCAGGAGCCAUGUAUUGUGUCUCAUGAUCAGAAUCGUCUCCACCGUGUUCGUCACGUGUAAUAAGAGCCAAAGUCUCCUCAUCAUAGUCACUAGCGGACUCAUACCCACCAUCCUCAGUAACAAUCAUCACACGCUUAGAUGGGCAUUCUCUUGCAUAAUGACCUCCACCCUUGCAACCUCGACAAAUAAUAUCAUGUGUUUGCCCUGUUGAUGCCAUGGAUGAAGAAGAGCUCUUUGCAGGCCCAGAAGGUGUGCUCUUGGCAGAUAGUGGUGAUUGUGCCUGCUUUAUUGUAUCACGAUUGGAGGUGGCAGCCGACGGAGGCGCCGGUGUAGCAGAACGUGUGGAAGUAGAUGAUGCACAUGGUGUCCAUGAUGAAGGUCGACCUGCAGAAAAGUUAGUCCGCGCCAAUGCCUGUCGAUCCAGCACUUCACGUUCAGCUUUACAAGCAAGAUGGAAUAAACGAGUGAUAUUAGUAUACUCCUUAUACUCUAGAAUCGUCUGAAUCUCUCUAUUUAAUCCACCCAUAAAACGUGCAAGCAUAGCUUCAUUCUCCUCAACAAUACCACAUCUAAUCAUGCCAGUUUGUAAUUCCUGAUAAUAUUCUUCUACAGAAUUUUUUCCCUGUCUUAAGCGCUACAAUUUUUGAAGUAAUCACGUUGAUAAUAUGGUGGAACCCAACGAGUACGCAUAGCAGUUUUCAAAGCAGCCCAAGUAGCCAGAAUAGGAUAUAAUCUACAAUGCUCAGACCACCAAACACAUGCAAAACUAGUGAAAGCACAAAUAGCAGCAGGAACACGUCUCUCCUCGGGAUAUUGUAAACAUGUAAAUCGUUGUUCAGUUUCUAACUCCCAAGUAAGAUAUAUAUCAGGAACAUAUCUACCCUCAAAUGGUGGAAUAUUCAAUUUUAGUUUAGGGAGAUGGUCAUGAUCUCGUACCUGAGGGUGAGCCCUACCAUUGCCAUUAUUUGCAUGUGGACGACCUGGUGGUUGCUGUGCUGUUGGUGGCACGUAGUUCUGAUUUUGAUCAACCUCAUCCUCAUAAUCUCCCACAUAAUCAUCCUCCUCCACAUCAGCAGUAGGAGCCACAGAAGUAUCAACAGCAGCACCAGCAGUUUGGCCCGACUGAAGAGGGACACGGCUCGCUCGACGGAGGGCUGUUUCCCGAUGUGGAGGUAGUCGGUGUUAUUGCUGUUGUUGCAGAGGUGCGUCAGGAGCAGCCGGUGGUGGUGGUGGAAAACGCAAAAGCAAUUCAGCAAACUUGUUAUCGAGCUUUGUUUCAAACGUCUUCUCCAUGCCAUCUAUCUUCUCCAUGGCCUCUUCAAAUCUGUUUAUCACAUCUUGCACCUGUCCACUCAUCAUUUGCUGAAACGUAUCAUGAAGCUCCUUGUUCGUCAAGUUCUCCCAGUCAGUCUCGUCGGCUUGUGAUCCUGGCAUGGUUAGCAGCAAUAGAAACACACAAGAAUAUGAUCCUACAGACUACUAACAAGUGGUGGUGGUGGCGGGUGUCACAAAUCCGUCAAGCAAAUCUCAAAUUCUUACCAGUUCUUACCCAGCAGCAGGCGGUGAUCGGCAACCGUUGUAGUCAAAACUCUCAAAAGCUUGGAUAGAGCGAUUGCCAGGGAGAGUCAAACGCACGACGUAGAUGUAUGUGGAGCUGGGAAGGCUUAUAGUAUGGUAGCAAAAAGGGUCAGCAAUAAUCAAUUCAGAGAUGCAAAGUUGAAUAAACGCUCAACGACGGUACUGUGCUGGUCCCAGGCUAGACCGUGCUAGAGACGCGAGCCUAGAACACUAACAAAAUCAUGACACUGCACGUAAAUAAGGGAAAAGCACACUCUGGAACUCUCUUUUUUUUCGCUCUUUUUUUCGCGCUCCUUUUUUUUGCGCUCCUCUUUUUUUUGUGAAAAAUCACUAUAAUGGCGAGUGUCUCAAAACUCUUCCCUCGUCAAACUGAUAGGAUGGGCACGAAAUUUUUUUUUCACUUUUUUUUCGGAAAUCAGGGCAGCGACGACGAAAAAGUGCGACAAAAAAUCACUAUGAUGGCACGUGGCUCAAAAGACUCAGAAAAGCCUAAAAAUAGGCUAGGGAAAAAAUUUUGCCCAUGAAAAUUUUGGCCUAAAAACUGCCCGGGGGUCUCCAGACUUUUUUUUUCCGAGACCUACACAGGCAAGGAAACACGAAUCGGAAUUUAGAUUGAUCUCAAGAACAAACCUAAUAUGAGAAGAACUCGGAUUGGUGGUGGAUAUAUGGUUGUGGUAUAUGGCAGCGGUGGUGGUAUAUGGUAGCGGUGGUGGUAUAUGGAUAGAGAUUGGUGGUGGUAUAUGGAUAUGGAUUCAGAGUGGUGGCGGAUAAGCAAAAGUGGUAGAUGGGCGAUGAUGAUGGUGCGGCGGCAGCGUGACAACUUAUGACCACAACUCGAAACUCUAAAAGACUAGACUCUAAGACCAACAACUUGACACGAUGAUGCAACCGCAAAUUCAACAAAGCAAAAACCCUAAAAAUAUUAUGCAAAGGCUCAGAUUGGUUCGGAUAUGAUGAACUAACCCUAAUUUUUUGUGUGGCUUUUUCGUGGACUGUAGGUAUGAAGAACAGACUCGAUCUAAUCUACGAAAAACUGUAAAAUCUCACUGAGCAACCUGGAAAUCUGAUACCACUUGAUAGAGGCUAAGGUGUCCCGAUGUUUCGAUGAGAUGGUGGCUAUCGUUUUCUGUGGGAUUCGACCUUGACGAUCUGACUACGAACGUGCGAGAUGUCGCGCCUUAGCAAUCGCUAAACCAACUUCCGAGGGUUAUUAACCACGCUGGAGCAUGAUCAACCUGACCACGAGGGUCUGUUUCCUGCGAACAAACGAAGAACAAGCAAGAAACUGAGAUUGCAAUCGGGAUAUUGCGAAUAUAAGAUGAAAGCUUUAUUGAUCAAGGUGGGGUUCUGUGACGUCUUGGUCUGGUCGUUGGACGCAAACGAAGUACGCGAAGUUGCAGCUAUGUCGAACUUUUAAUCUAAACAAAACCCAAAGUCUGAACGAUGCCCUAAGGGCUGUAUAUAUGGAGGAAGAGGGGGGGAAUUUCGUGGCCUUGAGGGUGGGGUCCGAAACCAACCCUACCUCUUGUUUCCCCACACAUACAGACUCUAAAAAUAGCCUAUACUUAAGUAUUUCGAAAUUACAUGGGCCUGGUCCAUUAAUAAGGUGACGCAACACCUAGAAUAGCCUAUGGACGAAUAUUAUGAAGUGGCAUCUUGUAUAUUUCGUCCAAGGCUUCAUGCACUCCUUAUGGCGGCUUCAAAGUCCUGAAAUCAUCACUUGUAACUCCGUUCUUGAUCCCCUUGCGCAUGCCAUCAACUCCAUGCGUGUUCUUGCUCCAAUGUUCAUCCUUCUCCAAGCUAGUCCCUUCAUUUGUAAGCAAAACAAAUGUAUCCAAUUUAGGCAGCAUCAUAAUCUCAUGAACAUUAGAAUCAUUACCAAGAAACGAAAGUACCUGGUAAUUUAAUUGGCGUGCGCGAGCUCUAGUAAUUGGUCCAGUAUAUGUAACAGUAGGGGCUGUGGGUGUAACAAUGGUAUUGAUGUCCUCAUCAUAACCCAAGUUGCCAAGGGACGGCCCCGCACGGUGCUCUAGUUUGGACCAACACUCGGAGGAGCACUGGCCUGGCGGUUUAAAAUAAAGAUGACCCUUGAGUCUGCAGAACCCAAGGGAAAAAGGCUUAGGUGGCAAAUGGUAAAACCAAGGUUGGGCCUUGCUGGAGGAGUUUUAUUCAAGGCGAACUGUCAAGGGGUUCCCAUAACACCCAACCGCGUAAGAAACGCAAAAUCAAGGAACAUAACACCGGUAUGACGGAGACUAGGGCGGCAAGAGUGGAACAAAACACCAGGCAUACGGCCGAGCCUUCCACCCUUUACCAAGUAUAUAGAUGCAUUAAAGUAAACAAGAUAUAAUCAUGAUAUCCCAACAAUAACAUGUUCCAACAAGGAACAAACUCCAUCUUCACCUGCAACUAGCAACACUAUAAGAGGGGCUGAGCAAAGCGGUAACAUAUCCAAACAACGGUUUGCUAGGAAAGGUGGGUUAGAGGCUUGACAUGGCACUAUGGGAGGCAUGAUAUAGCAAGUGGUAGGUAUCGCGGCAUAGCAAUAGAGCAAACAACUAGCAAGCAAAGAUAGAAGUGAUUUCGAGGGUAUGGUCAUCUUGCCUGAGAUCCCGCAAGGAAGAAGAAUGAGUCCAUGAAGAAGACAAACGGACGAGGUCGAACGGAUCCUCACAACUCCGGAACGAAACCGAAGCUAAUGAGAGAAACAACCCGGAAAGAAGCAGGCAACAUGGUAAACAACCAUCACAUAAACAUGGCAUGAUGCACAACCAAGUAUAAUGCAUGUACGGUUUAAUGAAGCAUGGCAUGGCAAAGUGCACAAACAAAACUACAAGUUAAGUGGAGCUCAAUAUGCAACAAGUUGCAUAUUGACGAAACACCACAACAAUUAUUUAGUUCUCUCCCGUUUAAGUACUCAACAAUAUUAAAUGUUGAUUAGCAUGGCAAGGGGUGAAGCAUAUGAAAACUACCUAUCUAGGCAAGUUUAAAUGAGGCCGGAAACAACGAACAACAAUUCCGGCAAAUCCCCAUAUGCAAAUAUUAGGUUUGGUACUGUUCUGUCCUAAAGCAUAUUUUAGAGUUGUUAAACAUGCAAAGUAAAGCCACCAUGAUAAUCUAUGCAUUUUUCUACCCCAUUUACAUAUAAAGAUUAUUAAGUUUGGAGCUACGGUUAUUUAGUUAUGAAUUAAAGCAUUUUAGCAUGGCGUAGGAGCAAAUUUAACCAAACAUCAUUUUAAAUAUUUCAAACAUAGAUGAAAGUUACAAAUUAUUAAUAUACACAAAAUUUUAAGCAAGUUUCAUAUAUGAUUUGUUUUAAUAUGAUGCACCAUUUGUGAGUUAUUAAAUGUAUAAACAACAUGGGUUUUUCUGUAAAACUGGUGGUCUUUGGAUAAAGCUAAAAUCGCAGAGGAAAAAAACAGAUCUGGGCCAAAACUGGCUGGCCCAUUAGUGCAAGGCGGGGUGCUGGAUCUGGGCUUACCAUGGGCUUGGCCCGUUCGAAAAAAUAGAGGAGGCCUGGCGCUGGGCCUUGGGGAGGUGCUAGUCUCACGCGAGCAGAAACAGGGGGGCGGGCGCCUGACAAACGUGCUUCUGCUCGUUGCAGAGGAAGCGUAGGCGGGCGACCGGGAUGCGGGCAGGCGAUGGCGGAGCUUGGCACGACGACAUCAACUAGAUUGAGGUGGAGGGAGUCAGUCCCGGAACGAAGUAGGCGACGCAAAGCGCUGGAGAGACGCUGUCCAUGGCGGAGGAGUUCCAUGGGCGGCGGCGAUGUUCAGUUUCUGCAGGGAGGCGAGGACGAAGCUGAUGUGCUCCACGGCCACGGCGGACGCGGGACUUGAGGAGCUCGACGCGGGAGGCAAAACAGGGGACGGAUCGGAGGCGCGGGGCAGAGGAGGUGCGGGCGAGUUCCCCAUGGAGGUCCGACGGCACGGGACGGGUCAUGGACUGGUGCUCCUGCAGGGGAACACGAGGAAGAUAGGGAGAUUAAGGCAGAGAGAAGAAGAAUGGGAGGAAGGAGAGGGGCAACGAGCAGUUCCUGCUGGGGCUCCGGCGAGGCUACGCUCGAGGUCGUCGACGCUGCACGAAGAUGGGGGAGCUCAGGUUCCUCCUGAUCUGGACCUCAAGCGAGGCUGCGGGCGCUAAGGCUGAUGACGACCAGCGUGAGCGAAACAGGGGGUACAGGGGCCCGAUGGCACACUUCGGCGGGUGAUGGCGCGAGACUUGGGGUGGAUUCACCGGGGAUUGGCCGGAAUGGAGCAGAUCAGACGGGGUAGUCACGGAUCCAACGAAGAGCGGCGACACUUUGAGCUCCUAAUGGCCGGGAGGCAGUGCACAGACGCGAGUAAGAGCUUGGUGGUGCGGGAGGAUUUGGAUCGAGGCUGCCGAUUGGGGUGGUGCUGAAAACAAGGGAGAGUGGCGGCGGCCGAAAGAGAAUGAUGGGACAAGCCUCCUCGAAUUUAGGGUUGGUCAUAAUAUAUCUCAGGAAGAUUAUGUUAGGGGCUAUCUCGUCUCUCCGAUCAAAAUCGGACGGUCAGGAAAAAUAAACUAGGGAGUCCAAAUAAGAAAAUGGUGAUGUUUUAUAGAUGUUAGGGGAUGAUCCGAACCCAACGGUGACGACUGCCCGGGUCAGGUUCGGGUAAGUUUCGGACACAUGCGAGGGGUCGAUGCACUAUGCAAAGAGGGGUAGGCUUGGCCUAGGCUGUGUAGUAGAGGUCUUAGGCUGAGAAGAGAGACAAAAAUGCAGCCCGGCAAGGUUUUUGGAGACCGAAAACGUCCGACGUUUGACCGGCUAUAUUGCCGCUAUAGUUUAACGGUUGGGCUAUCAAACAGACUCUGAAUGCGAUGAAACUUGGCAGGCGGUCUACUGACAACAUAACAACACCGCACGCCAACUUUCAACCCAAACCGAGAACAUUUUCUGGCCACUUAUAAAAUAAUAUUUCGGACAUGCCGUGGGCGUGUGCGAGUGUGUCUGGGCUCAGAACGGACAACGGAAGGAACGGGGAGAACGAAACGGAUGCAAGUUUUUAGAACAUGGUGAUGCAAUGCACAUGAUGACAUGAUAAAAUGCAACACGCAAGCAAAUGACAUGGCAACGACGGCGAAUAACUGGAAGACACCUGGCGCAUCGGUCUCGAGGCGUCACAUAAGUGUUCCAGCCAGAGUCCCUACGGAGUGGAGUUCAUCACCGUCGUCGCUGUUCCGCUGCUAGAGUUAUUCCGCUGCAUCGUGUUGUUCUGCUGCUUGCAUGGAGCAACUGUGGCAGGCGUAGUGUUGCCGUGCCAAUGUAAUCCCCUUGUAUCCAUAUAGCUUGUAAUAAAGAGCUGAUUUGUUCUAUGCUAAGCAGUGUCGUGUUCCAGAAGACUUCUCCUUGAUCUCUAGGCUGGAAUAAGGGGCGUUCCGGUUUCCCUGAGCUGGGGUGCCACAAUAACCACAUCCUACCCAUAAGCUUAAAUAGUCUUGAUCUCACGGGUUUUGAGAUUGCUGAGUCCUCGUGACUCACAGAUACUUCCAAAAUAGUUGCAGGUGCCGAUGAUACCAGUGCAUGUGAUGCCACCGAACUCAAAUGGGAGUUCGACGAGGACCUUGGCCGUUACUACGUGUCUUUUUCAGAUGAUCAGUAGUGGUGCCUAGUUGGGACGAUCGGGAUUUAGCAUUUGGGGUUGUCUUCUUUUCAUUUGGGUUCGUCAGUAGUCGGACUUUGUGUGCACUCUGAAUGAUGUAUGAAUUAUUUGAUCAUUGUGAUAGAUGCAAAGGUGUCCCGUCUUUCGAUGAGAUGGCAACGAUCGUUUUGGAGGAAGCCGACUUUGACGAUCUGACUACGAACAUGCGAGGACGUCGCUCCUUAGCAAUCGCUAAACCAACUCUGAGAGGUUAUUGACCAUGCUGGAGCACGAUCAACCUGACCAUGAAGGUCUGUUUCCUGCACGCAAACGAAGAACAAGCAAGAAACUAAGAUUGCAAUCUGGAUACACUACAAAAAAAUACACUUCCGUGAUGAUACAUGUUUGUCACAGUAGGGCACGUUUUCUGUCAUGCAUGUACACCCAUGACAAAUUUAUGACAGAAUCAAGAUAGUCAUACCUGUGCUGUCGUAGAAGUGUUCCAUGACAUUACCAAAAUUAUCAUCACGGAAGUGUCCACUUCCAUGACGAUAAAUCACGCGUCACAGAAGUGCUUUCGUCAAGGGUGACCAACACGUGGCAUCCACCGUAACGGAACGCCGUUAAGCUAUCGGGUCCAGUUUUGGAUCCAAUAACCCGUUAAUAGCCCCGACCAAUGGGGAUUUUCCACGUGUAAAAUCAUCAUUGGCUGGAGGGAACACCUGUCGGCUCGCCGUUGGGACAGAUGUCAUCCACUCAUUGGACCCAAAGCGCCUAUGAUACGUCGACACGUGGCACGGCCCAACAGAGGCCCAUUCCUGUGAAAAGGCCGACCCGUUUGACUAGGUCAAAAGGUGGCGGGCGGGCCCACGGCAAGCCUGUUAACGGCCUGUUCGCAUAUAGCCCAUUUAUAGCCCGCUAACCCAGGGCCCGUUUACGGCCUAUCCGAAUUAGGCUCAGUAGCGUCAUCUGGGCCAUCCAAUAUAAUUCUAGCCCGUUUUAACUUCCGGCCCAUGUAUGGCCCGUGAUGUCUUUCGGCCCAUAUGAGGCCCUUAGUAACCCUCGGCCCAUUAACGACCCGUGGUAAAACUGGCCCAUAAUGAACAGUGUAUCACUUUAUACCCAUUAACGGCCCAUUAUACCGUUGGGCUGUUUCCAGACCAUGUUAUCUUUCGGCCUUCUCAGGGCCCAUUUAUUCUUGGGCUCAUUUCCAGCAUUCGUUUACUUACGACCCGUUACAGGCCUUUUCUGCUUGUGGGCCAAAUUCAGCCCAUGGAUACUAUCGGUCCGUUUGUGGCCUGUUAAUCAGUUGGGCCAUUUUCAUAGCAUCAUCAAAUGCGACCGAUUAACGGCCCGUUAUGGUCAGCCCAUAAAACGUACGAUUUCCACUCUAGCCCGUUUACUGCCCGUUGACUGAUAUAGCAUAUUCAAAGAAUUAUCCUACGGGUCGUCUCAUCAAUGGGCCUUCUACGGGUCGUCUCAUCUUUGAACGAUAUAGCAUAUUCAAAGAAUUAUCCUACUCUAUACUAUCACCUCUAAAAACAUACACUAUACAAUAAAGAGACUAAGGCAUAGAAACGUAGAAUAAUCCUACACUAUACAGUAAAGAAAUUACAGCCGAUUAUACCCACUGGGCAUUAUGGUUCGGCACCAGUGAUAAUAAAGCAUACACAAACAUCAAAUUACAUACACUGGGCAAAUACAGCUCAUACAUCAUGGACAUGCAUCAACAUAACUUACCAUUUGAACUAUAAUCUCUUCAGAAAAUAGGAUUGGCCGGAUUUAGAUAGCACAAAUUUCAGUCUGCAAAAUCUCCAAUUCCUUCGUUGUUACCUCAGUGUCUUGUUUCAUUUUUUUGACUCCUCCAUCUAAUACUUGCAUGUCUAGUCUCAAAUUGUUGAUUGUACGUUCAGAAUCAUGUACACGUUGUCUUGCCACAUCUAGUUGAUGCUCGAGAACAUUAUCACAUUCCAAUUCCAAUCCAUAAUCAUUCGGUAACGGCCAUGCCGCACUGCUCGCAGAUCUUUGUGUUGAUGUCACUUCAUCCUGAAAUGUUUCUGUAAGUACACAUGACUAGGGCAAAAAUAUAGUUACAACAGUGAAGCGAGCAAGACAGACUAUUUUGUACAUGGAAAAACAGUACUAACAAUAAUGUUACACGUCAUGAAGCAUAAGGAGGUGAUAUUUUAAAAAUUAUAAAAAGGUAGUCUAUGCAGCCUGCAUACAGAAAUCUCUCUUAGCUCACCAGAGGAGCAUGAUGUUGGGGCCCAAUCCAAAACACAGACAAGUUACAAAUUUAGACAGCACAUUGCGUAGAAGUAAGCAAGCAGUUGGCCAUUCUGUAGCUCAAUUAAAGUCUUAGGGAGCAUAAUGAAUAGUAGAGGAUUUCAUACAAACAUACUACAACAAUCAAAACUAUUCAAUCAUUAGCCUAGUAUAAACUAGAUUGUGAGCCUCAUUCAAUAAUAGUUGGUUAAUAGACUUCAAAGCUUUAGGCACUCUUCGGCAGAGUAAUUAAAUGGUAAGGCCUUUAAUUAUGUCAACUAAUAGUUAUACAAGUACCCAACAUCAGGCAUCAUUCUUUGGGCAUCUCAUUAACUGAGGACAAAUAAAGCAAUUGAAAAGAGCAAAUUAACUAUGCCUGAAACAAACAAGGAAUUGAACUGUUGAGUUGGAUACAGUGACUUACCUUAAUAGGUUGAAGAGGCUCACCGCAGCUCCUACUUCUCUUGCAAGGCUCCUUCCUAACAUCUUGUACUUGGAAAUCCUCAAUCUUAUCUUCAUUGCACCCCCUGUGCAAGGUGACACAAACUAGUUACUCGUCUCCUUGGAAGAUAAAUAUGCAUACUUUCCAGUCUGUGAACACAAAAGGAUGAGAUUAUAACAACAACACCACAUAAUGAAACAUGCCGCAUCUCUUGCACUUGCACACAAUGAAAUGAGCAUUUACUAUGUCUGCACUAGUAAAAACUAGGCAUACCUUCGAACUGGAUCUCCAGGUACUCUUGGAGAGCCUACUUUAGUGUACAGCCAAACCUUUAUGUCACCCAUGAGUUAGAAAAGGCCCCACUACAGCAGCCCUUAGUGUUUAAAUCGUUGACAAGCUCUGUUAGAGUGUUAGGUCAAGAACAACAAGUAAUCAAAGCAAACAAUCCUAGUAUGGCUGGCUGAUGCAAACAAGCAAUUGAAUAGAUGUGUGAGCAAAUAUUACAUAUAAAGAAAAGAAGCAAAGAAGGAGGCUUAAAGGCCAUCACUUGACUGACCAGAUUUAAGGGGCAUUUAAACAUCAUGUGCAACGUAUGAACUAACAUAAACAUUGCAUAUUCCAGAUUCUACAAUGGAAUGCACAUGUAUUAGGUUAUGCCAUGUAUGAUGAUGCCUAAAUGUACACUAUAGCAGACAUGAGUGAUUCAUCAUUGCACGCACAAUUGAAUUGCAGGUUAAGGGCCAGUUCUAUUCCGCCUUUUCAGGGCUUAUUGUCAAAAUAAGCCAUAAAAGAUGUAAAGAAGUCAUUUUUGAGUUAUGGGCUUGGGCUUAUCUAAUUUCUCUUUGGAGGGGGGUAUUUCAGGUAGAACCUCACUAAAAAUUGAAGGGAAGGGGAAUAGUGAAAUGACUUUGUUGUCUGCCUAUAUUACACUCAAAAUGCAACUGGUGAUGUCCGCGUCACACCUCACCCUCAAGUAAAAACAAACACGCAAGCAUUCAUUGCCCCGCCCGCUUGCAUCUCCUCUCCCCUUUCCCUCUACCUCGAUCCCCUGCCUGCAGCACUAUGGUUCCUCCAGCAAGACGUCACCACUAGUCCCAUCUGGACUGGUCCUCGACGAUGCUCUGUCCAGCUAGGCUACAUGGCCGGAGGGUAGGGGAAAAUCUCCCUGGCUGCUCCUCCCUCUAGUGCCGCCCCUCAUUCUCAUGGUGUCCAGCAGCUGCUCCACUGUGGUUCGUCCAAUGCACUACUCUGGCAGGCGCUGCACAACUACGGCUGAUGCCAAACUGCGGCAGAAGGCACCUUAUUCCCCCCCACCUCCCAGGCCGUGGCCUUAAGGUGCUGUUGAAGGAUGAGCUCAUCCAACAAGGUGAGGAUCUCCUCUAAUUUUUUGCCCAAUUUUCAUUCUGAUCCACUAUACGAUGAAUUGCUAUGAGCUGCUUCUGCUGCUGCUAUAUGAUGCAUUGCUAUGAGCUACUCUUGCUGCUGCUAUAUGAUGAAUUGCUAUGAGCUGCUGCUGCUAUAUGAUGAAUGGCUAUGAGCUGCUGCUGCUAUAUGAUGAAUUUCUAUGAGCUGCUGCUGAUGCUAUAUGAUGAAUUGCUAUAAGCUGCUCCUACUGCUGCUGUAUGAUGAAUUGCUAUGAGNNNNNNNNNNNNNNNNNNNNNNNNNNNNNNNNNNNNNNNNNNNNNNNNNNNNNNNNNNNNNNNNNNNNNNNNNNNNNNNNNNNNNNNNNNNNNNNNNNNNNNNNNNNNNNNNNNNNNNNNNNNNNNNNNNNNNNNNNNNNNNNNNNNNNNNNNNNNNNNNNNNNNNNNNNNNNNNNNNNNNNNNNNNNNNNNNNNNNNNNNNNNNNNNNNNNNNNNNNNNNNNNNNNNNNNNNNNNNNNNNNNNNNNNNNNNNNNNNNNNNNNNNNNNNNNNNNNNNNNNNNNNNNNNAGCUGCUCCUACUGCUGCUAUGUGAUGAAUUGCUACUGCUGCUAUAUGAUGAAUUGCUAUGAGCUGCUGCUGCUAUAUGAUGAAUUGCACACUACUGCUGCUGCUGUAUGAUGAGUUGCUAUGAGCUGCUGCUGCUGCUAUAUGAUGCUUUUAGAUGGUGCUGCUAUAUGAUAAUAACCAGCCACUUGGACCAUCGAAUUUCAAUAAAUAAUUGUCUUCAUUUAAAUGCGGGUCAUGCGUUUUUCGUUUAAAUUAGGCAAUGGGAUCUCUAUGGAAAACAUUGACCAAAGUAGAUUGUGCCAAGUAGAUGGUAUCUUUGUAUUUGCAUUUUGAGCAAAUAGUGAUGGUCUGUUUUCCUAUCAUAUUAAUUACUGCACUGUGUUCAAUUUGUGAUGUUUGCAAGUCAAACUAAUUUUCAUAUGGGCAGCAAAAUGAAAAAAUAUAAUGCAAUCUAGACUUUUCACUUAUCAUACCAAAGACAAGAUGAAAACACAAUGAAAAGAACUGGUUGGCUUAUUACAUGGAGCUUAUAUUCACAUGUUCUUAUUUUCUUAGGAUAACUCGUAAUAACUGUCCCUAAGAAACUUGGCCAAUAGAACUGACAUACAAAUAACAUGUCACGAUGAUUGCAAUGGAGGAGUGACGUACCAUAGCACACUGUAUAGGCUCACCGCUGGCUCUCCUUUUUUUUGCGAUGUUCCAUGAAAUUGCCACAUACAUCUUGUACCUUUUCAUUGUAUAACCCAAUCUGCAAGUUGGCACGGCUAAUUUUGGACAUCUCUACAUGAUAAUACAUUGCAUAUCCCUUGCGCAUAUUUAAACCACCAAUUAAUGAUUGUGUGCGUAGCAUAAACUAGCCAUGACUCUGUGUGCUGGACUAGCAGGCACUCUAAGGGAGCCUAAUGUAGUGUACUGGAAUUCCUACAUGCCGCCUAUUAUUUUGUGUAAUGUACUGCCUCUGUUCCUAAAUAUAUGUCUAUGUAGAGAUUCCAGUAUGGACCACAUACAGAUGUAUAGCAUUUUUGAGUGUAGAUUCACUCAUUUUGCUUUGUAUGUAGCCUAUAGUGGAAUCUCUAGAAAGACUUAUAUUUAGGAACGGAUGUACGAGGUAGUAUCAUGUAUGACAUCUACAUAUCUAAUUUAGCAGCCAGUAGUAGAAAUCAUUGUCUACACAAAGGGAUUACUGGUCGAAAAUCCUAGCAAAGCACGCUGGCAGGCACAGAACAAUACAAGAGAGAGAGACAUGCUAUAUCAUCACAAUGCCUCGGUCCAGGAUCUUGGUUGGCCAAGCUGUUAGAUCCAGAAGAAACAUCGUCCUUGUAGUUUUUGCCAGCUGCAUAACAGGCAACAGCGACCUGUUAGUAUAUUUGAAGUACAUCGGGCAGGUGAUGCUGGACGGGUUUAAAGGUGACUAGUACGUAGGCCGUGGCGGGUGCUUGGCAUCUUGCCAGACAGUGGGAAUCAGUUUAGAAACGUUAAGGGUGAUGACGAUGCGCUGGCUGUUGGGGUCGGGUAAGGAGAUCUAGAACCGUCGAGUAGGGUGUUUCUGGAGCGGCUCCGGUAGGGUGGACUACGGUGUGGGCGAAGCGGAUCUGUGGCCGUGGAUGAGGGCGUAGGUGAAGUUGCUCCGAUUGUUGGGUUAAGGAUGGUGUCGACGAUGCGGAUCUGCGGCCAUGGACGGGGUGUCAGAAGGUGCUCCGGUAGGUUGGAUGAGGGUGCGAGGAAGCGGAUCUGAGGCCAUGGACUUGUGAGUUGGCAAAGCGGCUUCAGUAGGGUUGAAAAUGGUAUAGGCGAAGCUACUCCGGUGGGGUUGACAAUGUUGUCGGCGAAGCGGCCACGGUAGGGUUAAGGAAGGUGUCGGCGAAGAGGAUCAGAGGCCAUCGAUGGGGGCGUCGGUGGGGCGGCUCGGGGGUGGACGAUGCGUCUCCGAUAGGGAGUACGAAUGAGCCGCCGCAGAUGCGCUGCGGUUGACGAGAGUACCGGCGAAGCAGAUCUGGAGCCAUGGACAAGGCCGACACUGAAUGGGCUGUGGUACAGUGGUGGAUGAGCAGUCUACUUGUUUCUAGGGGAGGUGGGAGGGGUAGAUGCGGCCGCAGAAGAAGAUCCAGUGAGGUGGACGCCGCUGGCAGUGAAUGGGCUCUGGUACGCCGGUGGAUGAGCAGUCUAGGGUUUUGAGAGGGGAGGGGAGAAAGGCCGAUGAAGUACGGACGGCGUGAUGUGAGAUGCUCUGGUGCUGUGGAGUUAGUCGUUUUUAUGGGAGAGGGAGAGGAAAUGGGGGUGCCGUGUAGUGGGGGGGAACCGGAAGUUACCAAAGCAGGCUCGGCCUAUUAUGUAGAUGAGGGCGGUAUUGUAACUGUUGGUCUCCGUGCACCAAGGACAAAAGGUGAAUUUCGCAUGCUAAAGACUAAGGUGGCGGAAAUUUUAGGAGGCGGGAGAUUUUGCCGCCCGCGGGAUCGUUCGUAUCCAGUUUCAACUAAUUUUGGACCGUGCUAGCGGGAAGGUCAUGCGAGACUGUGUACACGGGGCACGUGUUAGCAGUUAAUAACUGGUGUGUCCACCCCAGAAAAAAGACAAUAACUCGGGAUGAUGCGCCGAUAACUUGGACGUUGGCAUGGGCGCGGCCAAUCGUACGGGUGUAGUGGCGCGUUCAUAAAAAAGGGAUCAAACGCUCAGCCUAUGUAUUUCUCGUGUAAAUAGAUAAUUUAGUGCAAUUGGUUAUUUACUUUAAACAUAAUGCAUUGACGUGUUAGUGUAGAGGCGCACAAAAAGAAAUGGAUAUUGUAGUCCGCUACUUAAAAGUGUUACCUCAUAUGAUUACAUAGCCUCCAUUACAUAAAUUGUGUACCCGUUGAAUUCAUAUAUGAAUAUUACAUAUAUUACUUCAUAAUAGAACCUUAAAUCAUCCAAGACUAAUGAUUUUGAAUGCAAGAGUAACAAUGGUGCAUGUACAUGAUAGCUACAUUGGUUGUUUGAAGAAACAUCACUGUAACUUUGGCAUGCACAACUGAAAAGGUUUAUUUAAAUAUAAAAAAUGUGAUAUGUGAGUGUCCAAUCUUUAUAGCGUUGAAUCGAUAUUGUACCUUUGGCCACGAUACAAAGUAGAUAUUGAUUUAUGUUCAAGCGAUGCACGUCCACGAUCGCUAGAUAGUGAUACGUGAAUGAAUUGUGCAAUCUCUCUCACACGCAUACAUAUCUCAUUUCCCUGUGGUCAUCGAAAUCACACACGCGCACUUUGUUAAUUUCUCUCCCUCCGUCAAGGUUAGAAUUCAUCUUUCUACACCGUCCUACAAGUCUCUCACACAGGAACACACACGCUCUCUCUGUCGAACACGCCCACCCCUUUAAUUCUGCCCACCCACAUCCACUAAUGUCUCAAAGUAUAAUAAUGUCUCUCACACAUAUGCCUAAGGUUAACUUGAGUUCCGGAACCAUAUGAAUACAUACAAUGGGAUUCCAACAGAGCACCUUUUUUUUGAGAUUUCUCUCUCUCUCUCUCUCUCUCUCUCUCUCUCCCACACAUUGUUUCUCGCUUCAUUUUUUCGGCACUUGCAUGCACACAAUUUUGUUUAUCUUCGUGAUGCUUUAAGUAUGCCACGCAUAAAUGCUAUCUACCUAUCCCUUAAUAUAGCUAGAUAUGUGUCACACAAACUCCUUCUCCCUACUAGCAAGAUGCCCAUGCGUUGCACCGAACAUCAAGAUGCAUUUGUACGAGUAGUUUAUCUUGUGGGAGAAAAGGAUGAACGAGGGAAUGCCUUAUUUGCAAACGCGGCGAGGGGUGUGGGUAUCUUUUUGCAAAAUUGCCACAGUUUCCUUCCUAUCCGUUGGGUAUAAAUAGGAUGGCCUAUAUUGCAGGAUGGCAGGAACACCAUCAUCACCAACUCUGUUUUUUAUAAGAGUAGGGAUAUGUAAGUGGCACUGCCCCCCCUCCGCCCCCCGACACACACACCCACACCCACACAACCACACACACACACACACUUCCCAACACCGAAGGAGUAGGGUGACAUCUCGAGCUUGAUACUAAUCUAUCGACUGGCUUCUCUCUCAAACACACACACACACACACGCACACACACUACUCGACACCGAAGGAGUAGGGCGCCACCUCGAUCUUGAUAGUAAUCUAUCCACUCCUCUUUCAAACAGACACACAUACACACACACUCACUUGUUGUGCCUCUGUGCCUGCCACGCACACUCUCGAUACGUCUUUCUCUCCCUCCCCCACCCCAACAAUGACAUCAGAAGGGUGACAACUCAAUCUGAUCGUAAUCUGUCAAUUGGUUUCUCUCUCGAACAUUGUGUCUCUGUGCCUCGCUCAGUAGCCCCCUCGAUAUGUAGACUUCUCGCGCGUGCACAGUUGUAGUGACGAUGACGCUCAACCUAGUGUGCCUCAUUUUUACCGGCCUCACAUGAUAGUUUUCACCCUGUUUUUUGUUAAUUAACAGGGCAACCUUUUCUUUGUUACUACUAGUCAAUCUGAAAUCAUUCGGGGCAGACAUAAAAUAUACCACUUCAACCCAAUUAUCGAAGUAACUAUUUUAAAAGAAACUAGCUAGAUGCCCGUGCAUUGCACGGAACAUCAAGAUGCAUUUGUAUGAGUAGUUUAUUUUGUGAGAGAAAAGGAUGAAUGAGGGAAGGCCGUAUUUGCGAAAGUGGAGAGGGGCGUGGGUAUAUUUUUGCAAAAUUGCCAUAGUUUUCUUCCUAUCCGUUAGAUAUAAAUACGAUGGCCUAUAUUGCAGGAUGCCACACACAUCAUCAUCACCAACUCUAUUUUCUACUCCCUCCGUUCCUAAAUAUUUGUCUUUUUAGAGAUUUCAACAAGUGACUACAUAUGGAGCAAAAUGAUUGAAUAUACACUCUAAAAUAUGUCUACAUACACAUCCGUAUGUGGUAGUCCAUUUGAAAUCUGAAAAAGACAAAUAUUUAGGAACGGAUGGAGUAUAAGAGUAGACAUGGAGAUAUAUCAGUAGCAUGGUCUACAACAAAAAUGUGCUGGACCGGUUAGCACCGGAUGCUCGCAACGCGAUGACAUGGGUUCGAAUUCUGUCUUUAACUUUAGAUUUUUAUAUUAUAUAUUACAUAUUUAAUAUAUACUUCUUUCGCUACUGUACUGACAGUGGAACCCAAAGAGUACUUAGAAUACAAGAUUAAGGAUGGACUUGUUUCUUUUUCACUUUCUGUACAAAGCUGUAGCUACCCUGCAAGUCACGUGUACACUGUACAUGCAAUUAACUUUUUAUAGAAUGACAAUCAUACACGCAACUAACUCAAAUGGAUUGGAUGUCACUCUAUUAUUUCCAGCAUAAGAGCAUCUCCAACGGUAGCCGAUAAAUUUCCUCCCAUUUCCUUCCGCGGAGGAUGACAUCAAACGCCAGCGGCAUACAUUUUCACAACUCUAACCAACUAGAUGAAAUUCGUGCAAACACAGACUGAUUUCAUAUAAGCACGAAGGAUUUCAUAUAAAAAAGCCGGAUCUUCAUAUAAACAUGAUGUAUUUCAUUACAUUUACAUGAACUAAGCGGUGCCAAUCCGGCUAUCUUGGUAUAAUUAAUAGUCCCUCCGUACGGAAAUACUUGUCCUAGAAAUGGAUGUAUGUAGACUUAUUUUAGUUAUAGAUACAUACAAUUUAUCCAUUUUUAGAACAAAAAUUUCCCGCCAGCUGGAGAGAGAGUACAUAAUCUAAAUGGCCGCCCGUGAAUCCCUUUGUCUUCCUCAUGUUCGGCAGACACUUUGCGGGGUCGAAGAAGGUCCUCGAAAGAGACGAAGAAGCAAAGAAACCACCUGAAUGCGCAGUCGUCGCCUCAGCGGUGGCCUUCAUGGGGCCCAAGUGGCGGCGGCCUCCCGUGUUCUACUUCUCCUCGAUGAUGGUGGCGGACAUGGAGAAGCUGGCCACCGAAUCGUCGCUGUCCAUGCACCCGGCUUCUGUCUCUGCCGCAGGCACGGGAGGUGCGCCCACAGACACGGAGACGCGGUACGACACGGCAGCGACGACGCCCGUACCGGUGUGCUCGCUGCCAUGCCGACGUGGAGCAACUCGCCACUCCUCAUCGAGCUGAACUGGAGCGGCGAGUUGCUGAACCAUGCGCCUGCUUGGGGCGGCAACUGGCUCCGUCGGGCCAAGCAAGGUUGGUGAAGCACCGAGCGGCCUCGCCCGUAUCCGGAGGGCUCGGCGGGCCACCCAGCCGGGUAAUAUGCCACAGAACGGCUCCUCAGAAGCCAUCGGAAGAGUGGAGAAAAUGGUGAAGGCGGAGAUGGGGGAGCGGCGGAGGGGUGCGAUUCUUGCCCGCUGUCUGUCUGGCCUCGGGUAAAUAGAGGGCGGAUGGUAGGAGCUUGGCCGGCGUCUGGCCUCAUUUAAAAUGAGGGCGGACGGGAGGAGCUCGGCCGGUGUUGCGUUUAAUUUCGGCCCGCUCAUGAACGGACGUGUGGCCGCAGUAGGUUUCUCGGUUCGCAUGCAGGUUUAAUGGAGGGGUUUGAUGGAGGCGAGGAGGCGUGUUCAGCCGGGCGUGCAGCGGGUGGCGCAGUACUAUUCGAUUUGACAGUGGGCAGUGCAGUUCCCGAUAUGACUUUAAUGCAGACGAGCGAGGGAGUAGAGGUUCCCGAAAUGUUGAACGGCCAAUGCAUCCUCCUUCAAUUAAUGCACGAGGGAAGUAAUGGGAGGUGGACCGGGAAAAGAGGCUGCACGAUGUGAAUGCAACGCAGUUUGCCCUCAUAUAAAGGCGCCCCUCCAUUCCGAUGCAUCUCCACAUCGUACGCACCUAAGCAUUUGCGUAAGCACCUACACUAAGCGCAAAAGAGCUGACUCCAGACCCAUGGCAGCGAUGUGCGCCAGCGGCCAGUGGCUGUGCCAGAUGGUCCAUGACGUCGGCCUGCGGCAUGACACCGAGGAUUGUCUUCGAACGGUGUUGGAGACCGACUGGUAGAUGGCUGCCGUCGACGCCAACUACAACUCUUAGUUGGACCAGAUGAUCUUUGCCACCACCAACAAGUUUACCAUCCUCAAGAAGCUUGCGAACGACAUCGCCGUACUCCUCCAGCUCGCGCGCCCGAGCUCCUCAUUGCCUGCCACCCUAAUCGGCCUCCAUGACCGUAACCUCUUUCAAGCACUAGUAACCCUGCGAAUGCCCGCCGACGCCAUGAAGAAUGUCCACCUGGAGGUCGCGCUCGCCGCGAGGCGCCUCGCCCUGCAAGAAUUCCUCGACCUACACAUCCACGUGUAUGAGCAAAUCAUGUACAUAGGUAUCUACAAGGCCAGUGAGGACGCUAUGAUGUUGGCCUUCCUCAAUCGGCUGGAGGCCUUGGAUGCCUUUGCUGAGAAGCACCUCGACCUCGCCACAAAAGCCGCCGCUCCUUAGCCGCCGGUCGGUGGCCCGGCGCACUAAGUUGAGGAGGAGGAGGUCGUACGUUGAUGGAUGCAUCUUUCUUCUUGCCUUCUGUAACCACCACUGCGAUCGCAUCAUCAUCGUGGCCUUAAUUCUUAUUGUGGUGUUGCAUUCUCGUUCCAGUCAAUACCGACAUGUGCGAUCCCUUUGCUUAAUUAUAUGCAUCACUGUAACUAGUACUCCAUCCGUCAAUUUAUAAGUUGUGCUUACCUUUUCCAUCAACUUCGUGCAACGCGCGUGCAUCUUGCUAGAAACACUAGAACAUGUCGGACCGCGUGUGACCAAACCGACGAUGCGCCAACCUAGCUACUACGUACCCUGCUUAUCUGGCAGAAAUAGCCCUGCCCUAGCGUUUCCAAUCGUUAUUUCUAUCUAUCGAUCGUGCCAAGGAGCAGAACCAAAAUUUUACAAUUUAUACAUGUUUCUCUACUCCUACUCCUAUAAAAGACUCAGUUGUUGAUGGUGGUGUGUCUGCCAUCUGUCGUUUCUGACCAUUAGAUCUGCAUCUAACGGCUGUGAGGUAAGUCGUGGCAUUUUUGCAACAAUAGCCCACUUCUCUGCUCCAAUUUGCAGAAAACCCCUUAUUAUCUUGAAAGCAACCACAUCCCUCCCUCACCUCAUCAAAACAGCCUAAGAAAUAUAUACUCCUAUAAAAGACUCAGUUGGUGAUGGUGGUGUGUCUGCCAUCCGUCGUUUCUGACCAUUAGAUCUGCAUCUAAUGGUUGUGAGGUAAGUUGUGGCAUUUUUGCAACAAUAGCCCACUUCCCUGCUCCAAUCUGUAGAAAACCCCUUAUUAACUUGAAAGCAACCACAUCCCUCCCUCACCUCAUCAAAACAGCCCGAGAAAUAUAUUUUGAGUGAAAGUACUCCCUCCAUUCCUAAAUAUUUGUCUUUCUAGAGAUUUCAAUAAGUGACUACAUACGGAGCAAAAUGAGUGAAUCUACACUUCAAAAUAUGUCUAUAUAAUCCGUAUGUGAUAGUCCAUUUGAAAUCUCUAAAAAGUCAAAUAUUUAGGAAAGGAGGGAGUAAUAUAUUAGGAGUAUAUCAAAACAAGAGUGAUUUCUUUCAAGUUUGUGAACAAGUACUACUAUUCUACUACUUUGGAUCCAUCGCAACGCAUGGGCACAUUGCUAGUAAAAGGAAAAGGCUUGCUGCGUUCGUGUCGCACUCCCCCCACACACGCCCGGGAAUCGGGACCAGUCCACGGUCCGUCCGGCACGACACAUAGCUUAGGGAAGACGUGUUGCCUAGCAUUUUCACUUUCAUGUGGGACCGUCGUUGAGCAAAUCGACUAUUGGCAAACCGCACCCCGCCCGCCGCCAGGUUGGAAAAUAGAAACGAGGGGAAGAUCUAGCUGUAGCACGGAAGCCAAGAAAUUUGGUGUCAGAUGGGGCUCGUUGAUAGAGUAGGAGCAUUCCGUACUACUCUGCUCCUACUAGUACCAAGUUUGUACUAUACAACUAGUACUACCACUAUACAACUAGUAGGUACGUGCACGACACAGUAUCGUAGGAACAAAAAAUGGGAAGAUCUUGUUUUGGGUGAUUUAUCUUUUUUUCUGUCAACAUAGUAUGAAUAAUAUGAUGUGGGGGGCACCCAUGAAGCUUAUGUGGUUUGGUUGCAUGGCUACGAAAGGUUAGAGAAAAAAAUAGAUAAUGUGUUUAGAGUGCACUCCACUAAACGGAUAUACUUUGGAUCCAUUGCAAUGGGCCGACACAUCUAUAUCUAUAGCCCCUAUAUAGUGUGUGAAUAACUUUGAAAGUUGGUCGUUGGAUGAAGCCAAUCCGACGGCACAAAGAUGGCAAAUCCGAGCACUACUGGCCAUUGGAUAUCAUCUACAUUCCACCAGAUUCUGCCACAUGUAGAAUCUAGAAGACUCCAUGGUUGAACUUCAUUCAUGACUAACUUUUCCACAAUUAAGCUUAGGCAAAGUGUGUCUGAAACAAAAAAAUGUGGCUAACAAAAUGGCCACCACAAGUGUGGCAAGAUUUGGCAAGAAGUUGAGUCUAUGACAUGUGGACCAUGUAGCUAGAAAAGUGUGGCAAGCUACAAGUGUAGCAAUGAACCAAACACAUGCUGGCACGCCUAAGCUUAGGCGUGGCAACCUUAGGCUACAAACCAAACCAUAACUUUGAAAGUUGGUCAUUGGAUGAAGCCAAUCCGAUGGUACAAAGAUGGAAAAUCCGAGCACCACUGGCCGUUGGAUAUCAUCUACAUUCCACCAGAUUUUGCCACAUGUAGAAUCUAGAAGACUCCACAUGUAGAAGCAUAAUGCACAAACCACCAGAAUCUCAUGCGUGUAAUGCACGUGUACCUUACUAGUAGUUGGUAGUAGUAAGAAAAAAAUUCCGGGUUUGGCACAAGCUCGUACUGCGGGAGCACGACAAGGCCUGCCGCAGGAGUUACAUUUCCCUCUCGGGGCCCACAGGACUGAAUUUCAAUGGCUUAGUGCCCGACCUAUGAGUCAAUGACAUGCAGACCUUAAAUGCGACUGGCCCACAUGUCAUUCUCAUGGUGGUGGUGUGGUUCGCGACUCACUCGUUCGAGAUGAACCAGCCGGUGGUGGCGUGGCCGUGGCGAGGGUGCCACAGCUGGGCGUCGGGGCAUUACGAGGCGUAGAUGGCCACACCGGCGGGUACUACCUGUAGUACAAAAGUACUCCAGCUGAGGAUUGAUGCCCGGGACGAAAUGUGUCACAGCUGCUGGAUGAAAAUUCGAUGGUGCGGGACGUGUGGUGUCAUGGGUUCGUAGGGCAUCGUGGGAAUCACGUGUGGCUGUGGUAGAAACUUGAUGCUCGCCGCAUUUAAGGUGGCCCACAUGUCAUGCACACAAAGGUAGAGGGGCGGUGAGGCCGAGAGGGGUGAGGCACACGUCGGGGGACGUGGUUCGUGGGUUGGAGCGGCGUCGUGGGAAUCUCGAGUGGCAGCAGAUGAAAUGUGAUGGUCACCGUAGUUGAACUUCCAUGGACAAGUUAUCAUGUCUACGGACACAUGCAUUGCAUACCGAUCACUAGAAGGAGUAGUAGAGAAAGCUAGGCGGAUAAAUAGUUCCUUAUAGCCAAGCGGACCCACGCUACUACUUGUUCCAAAGACAUGCACACCAUAUAAAUAGUCCAUCUAUAUCAAUAUACAUAGAGAGGGAAUAUUUUUUUACAAGAGAGGAAAUAGUUCAUCCAUCCAUAAUGCCCUUCUUCUUCUUCUUCUUCUUCUUCUUCUUCUUCUUCUUCUUCUUCUUCUUCUUCUUCUUCUUCUUCUUCUUCUUCUUCUUCUUCUUCUUCUUCUUCUUCUUCUUCUUCUUCUUCUUCUUCUUCUUCUUCUUCUUCUUCUUCUUCUUCUUCUUCUUCUUCUUCUUCUUCUUCUUCUUCUUCUUCUUCUUCUUCUUCUUCUUCUUCUUCUUCUUCUUCUUCUUCUUCUUCUUCUUCUUCUUCUUCUUCUUCUUCUUCUUCUUCUUCNNNNNNNNNNNNNNNNNNNNNNNNNNNNNNNNNNNNNNNNNNNNNNNNNNNNNNNNNNNNNNNNNNNNNNNNNNNNNNNNNNNNNNNNNNNNNNNNNNNNNNNNNNNNNNNNNNNNNNNNNNNNNNNNNNNNNNNNNNNNNNNNNNNNNNNNNNNNNNNNNNNNNNNNNNNNNNNNNNNNNNNNNNNNNNNNNNNNNNNNNNNNNNNNNNNNNNNNNNNNNNNNNNNNNNNNNNNNNNNNNNNNNNNNNNNNNNNNNNNNNNNNNNNNNNNNNNNNNNNNNNNNNNNCUUCUUCUCAUUUUCCAUGGGAGACGGCUUCGCAACAAGCUCUCUGGACCUUGCAGCUAUCUCGAAACUCACACGGUCAUCGAGGGCAGCAUAUUUUAUCCGCUUGUACGUCAAGGGAUAAUUCUCCCAUCCAGACGACCUUAAUGCCAGCGUCUCGUCACCCUUCUAAAGAUUUGUUCCUAGCACAAAAUUUGCUAUGUCGAAUAGGGAUGGUGUCGGUUUAUCACAAUCUUCUACAAGAAUUUUUAUUCUGGUUUUUAGGUUAGCGAUGCUUUUCAAAUCAAGGUUGUAUGGCUCCAACUUCUGUUUGUCCCCUGCGAUGGCUGCCCCACAGAAGUAUAUCUCCUCCCGAGACAAGAAAUCAUGAAGCUCACGUGGUAUGGAGGGCGCGUGUAUGAUGUGGUACACCAAAACAUCAUCUUCGAGGCACAACUGAAGGACAGCGGCGCGUUGGAUCUUCCCAGUGGCACGCUCCUUGUAAUCUAUGUCAAGACCGAUGACAUUCAUCUCCACCUUUUGGAGGGAGUUGGAUACAUUGUUGAUCCACUUUCGAACAACCCUUGGGUGGUCGAUGACUGUGGCAACUAUGCUCAACGAGCCUUCGACGAGGACAUGUUGGACGCUAAAAACCUGCAUCUCGAUCUCUUUUGCCAUUUGGUACCGCUGGACCGGAGGGCUAUGGUUUGGAGAAUUAGGAUUAGGUGGCUAAUCUAACCGAAGAAGAUGGGGGCUUCGGAAUUACUCCAGGAGGAUGUGAAGAGGUUAAAACAAUGUGAAUGCAGUGUGGUUUGGAUGCAAAUGAAGAUCAAGGAGUAGUGAAAAAGCCGAGGAAAAUCGGUUCCCGAUGGAGAAGUAAAUGGGAGAAGUUAUGCGCAUGUGUGAGUGAAAAUGGGAAUGGGCCGACCCGGCCCUGGCCCCGGCCCCGUGGCCCCAAGGUCAAUAUGUGAGGCCACGGGCCAGCCCAUUUCAUCAGAAUUUUGUGGCCCCAUUGACCCAUUGGGUACAUGAGGCCGACCCAGAAUUUAGCAAAUGUUUAGACAGCCCAGAGGAUUACAGGUUUUUUGAGCCAAAUGUUUGCACAGUCCAACAAUUGUGGCCUCGCCAAAUUACUAAUAAGUCCCCAAAAGAUUAGAUAUGUCAGCAAAUGUGUACACAAUACAGUAAAAUGAAAGGCCUAACCUUUUCACAUUUAGUAAAAUGGUGAGAUAAUGAGAUUACAUGUUUCAAGAGCAUCAAGCAAAAGACCUCAGUCCAACAGAUUCGAACAAGAUCAAAAGAUUACAAGUUCCAAAGAAUGUCAAGCUAAUGACCUCAAUCCAACAGACUCAGAUAAGAUCAAAAUAUUAUAGGUUCAACAUGCUAAACUUUUCACAUCCAGUAGGUUAUAGAGAAAGCUGACAUAUCUUUGCUUCACCAUCUGCUUCAGGUUCAACAUCAAUUGCUCCAACAAGCAUCAAUCCUCGAUAUUUGUAUUUACAAAGAAAUGUUACAAGAGUGAUUCUGUGCACAUCAACUAAAUAGUAUAUUUAUCCCUCAAAAAAACUAAAUAAUAUACUUAUGAACAGAGGAAUAUUCUUUGUAGGAAAGGCGUGUUCCAGAAAACCAAUUCAUGAUCAGGUUUGCAAGAAAAUACACUUCUAAAUAUCCAUUAUACACUACUCGUCAUCCACUCUGCAACAUAUUCUAAUCAAGUUACUUUAGUUAGCAAUGCAUAUUUUUAAUAUAGUUUGGCGAUGAAAAAAUGAAUCUGAACUACACAUUCAUAUUGGAGAGAAAAAAGAAAUAUAUAUUAGAGAUCAAGUAUAACUUGGGGAAACCAAAAACAAAAAGCACUAGUUCUGUGUGUAAAGCACUCUAUAUAUUCAUCUACAUGUUUGGGCUGCAUCUUGCAAAUAGUUCCCUGGAACAAACUGUAAAUAUGAAAUCCCUCAUUAAAAAGCAGACUUCAUACUUUAAGUGUACUUUCAUAUACAUGGCACUAUAUACAUCAGAAGGUUUCUCAUACCUUGUAAGUCCAUUAUAAUGUCAUGAACUGAAGCCAAGCUACGUUGAGUAUUAGCUGCAGAAAAAGAAGAAGAAACUAGUAAACUUGAAGCAUUAGCAAGAAACAAAGAAGAAACUUGUGUCGUAUGGCUUUACCGUUGGCCCUUAUCCAAUCUUGUAAGCAAACAAGAGCUUCAAGUGUCGUUGCGGUCAUUCGACUUCUAAAAUCUAAUAGGACUCUCUUCCCUGUGGUGAAGGCGGACUCGGAUGCCACCACAGAGGCAGGAGCCGCCAAGAUAUCUGCUGCCAUGUGACUCAGCAUUGGGUAUUCACCUGAGUUCGUCUGCCACCAUGCAAGGAUAUUGAAUUGAUCACUUCGACGGAUGGGUACCUUUGACAAGUACAAAUCAAGUUCGGUGGAAUCCAAAUUUGUUGAUCGAGCAGUGAGGGUGACAUGUUGGUCCCAAUCAGCCAUAGGAUCUUCACCACUUACAACCAUGUCAUCAUCACCUCCUUGUGACAUGUGAUCUAAUCCAUUGUCAUUCAAUUGGAGGUAUUCAUUGAACAACCCUUGGAACACAUUUUUUAUUUUAGCAAUUGAGGGAGUCCUGGAUUAGGGGGUCUCCGGACAACCGGACUAUAUCCUUUGGCCGGACUGUUAGACUAUGAAGAUACAAGAUUGAAGACUUCGUCUCGUGUCCGGAUGGGACUCUACUUGGCGUGGAAGACAAGCUAGGUAGUACGGAUAUGGAUAUCUCCUCCUUUGUAACCGACCUUGUGUAACCCUAGCCCUUUCCGGUGUCUAUAUAAACCGGAGGGUUUUAGUCCGUAGGACAACAUACAAUCAUACCAUAGGCUAGCUUCUAGGGUUUAGCCUCUCCGAUCUCGUGGUAGAUCAACUCUUGUAAUACUCAUAUCAUCAAGAAUAAAUCAAGCAGGACGUAGGGUUUUACCUCCAUCAAGAGGGCCUGAACCUGGGUAAAACAUCGUGUUCCCUGCCUCCUAUUACCAUCUGCCUUAGACGCACAGUUCGGGACCCCCUACCCGAGAUCCGCCGGUUUUGACACCGACAACAAUCAUUGCUGCAGCUUCGUUCCCAAACUCUAGGCCAAAUCAGAACUCAAUAUAUUUUAACUUGAAUUGUGGGUCCAAAAUCACUGGAAUACAAAGGCUCAACCAUGUCAUCUUCCAAUAUCUUCUGAAUUUUCUCUUCAUAUAUUUGACCGUUGUGCCCAUCUCAGAAUCCUCUUCAUAAUGUUGUUGCUCUAAGGUCAGCUUCACUUUCCACGUUUCCUGGAAAUACAAGUUAGCAGUUGGAUAUUUUGUGCCGGAAAUCACAUUAGUGGCUUCAUAAAAUACCUUCAGUAGCCUGCAAACAUAUUCAACAUUUUCCCAAUCCUCAAAAGAUGGCUUGAAGGUAUAUUGUUUAUCUUGAAUGGCCAAAGAGUCAAACACUCCGUGAUACUCUUUUGCUAUAUUAAUCAUCAUGUAGGUUGAGUUCCAGCGAGUUGGAACAUCAAGACUUGGAGUUCUCCCACAUGAUACACCAUGUUGCUCAACGAUUUCUUGAAAUUUUUCCUUUCGACUUGGUGAGUUUCGAAUGUAUUUCACAGUUUCACGUAUCAUGUUGAUCACUGGACCAAGGAAGUUCAAUCCUGCUUGACAUAUCAGAUUUAUGACAUGGGCGGCACAACGUUGGUGAAACAACUUGCCACCACCAGGUAACAUCUUCUUAAGCAGGAGAUGUGCCUUCAAUAGCUUCAUCAUUGCACCAUUAUUCGAUGCAUUGUCUAGCAUCAUAGCAAAGAGAUUAUCUUCAAUGUUCCACUCUCUUAUGAAAUUCACCAUGAUGUUGAACAUUGCAGCUCCUGUGUGCGGUGUCUCCAUAGCGGCAAAUUUAACUAUCCUCUUCUGCUGCUUCCACUCCUCAUCAAUGAAGUGAGCUGUGAUGCAAAUGUACCCCACUGUCUGAUUUGAUGUCCAUAGGUCCGUGGUCAAAGAAAUCUUGGAUUUGGAGUUUUGGAACAUCCUUUGCAGAAUUCUCUUCUCUUCCUUGAAUGCUUUCAUGCAGUCCUCCUUCAUUGUUUUUCUACAUAUCAUCUUGAAGCUGGGAUUUAGACUAGAGACAAAUCUUCUAAAUCCAUCAUACUCCACCAAUGAGAAUACCAAUUCACGCAACACUAUCAUCCUCAUCAGAUCUCGGCGUGCUAAUGCCUGAUUAAAGGUCCAAAGCCCCAUUGCAACUCCAUCAGGACUCGUGAUAGAAGCACUCAGUUGUCCAGAAACACUAAGAACCUUCUUCCUUUCCCUGCAUCUAUUCAAAUGUUUGCGCAAUGAACUUGUUCCAUGUUUACGCUCAGCACAAAUAUUCCUUGCACAGUGUUUGCACUCAGCAGCUACAACUAUGCCAUCAACACGGAUUGGCUCAUAUUCUUUCCACACUUUAGAUAAAAACUUUCUUCUCGGUUCAGAAAAUUUUCCCAUGUCAAUGAUCUCAACCUCUCCCUCUUCAUCCACAUUAUCUCCCUCUUGUUCUUCAUCAUCAUCAUCAUGUUCUUCUUCUUCUUCAUCAUCCUCAUUUUCUUCUCAUUCCUCUUCUUCUUCAUAGUCAACAUCUUCUUCAUCAGCCUCAUCUUCUUCAAAAUCAACCAUAUGAGUGUCUUGUGAACGUCCUGCUGAGCAAAGGACACAAGUUAACAUUACAAUUAUGAGUAUUUUUUAUUUUAGCAACCAUUAAUUUGCAUCCCUAGAAAAAGAAAGAUUAACAAUACUCACCAUGAUAAGCUCUACAAAUGUUUAUCAAAGAAGGAGACACCCCUGGGGGUGGUUGAGCCCUUCUCAUUGUCGCACCGGAUAUCAACGAUGAACCACCACUUUGGUAUGCCUCAUGGUCCCCUUGUUCCUCUUCCAUUUUUCUGACCAGAGGGAAAUAUAGGAACAUUAGAGAGCAUUAACUUUCAAAAGCAACAGCAGAUGUAAUACACAAAUUUCAUUUACUUGUACUAGUGCAGGACAACCAACAAAUUUUGUAUAUGAACUUAACAGAAUUUGGUUUGAGAAUCCAAACACUUAAUAGGAUUCGGGGGAAGAAAUUUACAAAGCACUGAUAAUAUCUGAACACACGCAUGAACAUACAUCGAUGGAGCCAUACACUACUAAACCGCCUCAUCAGCGAGAAAAUUCUGCGCAUUUAUUGAUCACAACUACACAAACAAACUGCUACGAAUUAGUUAUUAGAAGUCGUAACAUGUUCCAAAUUUGAUAAAUAGUACUAUCACAAACCAAUGCGGUCCAGGCAUGGUUUUUGUUCUACUUUGACAAGCAAAAUAAACAAAGGUACUACCAUGAUCCCCAAAUCUGUUGCUUACCCUGGGCAAAAUGAUCCACUAUAAAACAUUUCCAAUCAAAUAUGAUCUAGUUCUUCAUGUAAUUGUUCAUGUACACCGACUGAAUGACAGGGACCAACACUGUAGAACUACUACAGAACCAACACUGCAAGUAACAGAUCCCAUGGCUACAGAGUACACUGACUGAAAGUAGUAGAAUCAAUACUAAAACAAUUGCAGACAACACUGACCAAGAACCAAAACAAGACCGGUGCUUGCAUUGCAGCUGCGCUGGGACAGGGAGGAAGCCGGCAAGAGUCUCACCUGCGAGAUGAUGACGUUGAGGACGGCGACCGGAAUGGCGAGGUAGACGGUGGACGGGACCGCAGGUCAGCAAGCUCGACGGCGACCAAGACGACGAACGAGAGGCGGGAGGAACGCCAGUGGCAGCAGGCCAGCAAAGAUGUUCAGGGGCAGCCACCGGCGGCGGCAGGUCGACAGAGAAGGUCGGGGGCAGCCGGUAGAGAAGGUCGAGGGAGGCCGAGGGCGACAGAGAUGGCCGGCGGCGGCAAAAAUUGUCGGGAGCGGCCUACAGAGAUCAUGGGGGGCGGCGGCAGAGAUGGACUAGGGCAGCGCAAUCAGACGGCUGGGUCGACCCGUCUGGUCCAUCGGGUCACACGGUGCCAGCUCCGCUGACCCGUUUUAUGUUUCGAGGCCAACCCACCUGGCCCAUUGGCCCCGAGAUUUCGGGCCGGGUCAGUGACCCAGCGGGCCGACCCGACCCAUUCCCAUCUUGAUGCAUGAGGAGAGGUGCGGUGGUUUGACUGCUGCAUGCAAUGGAUUGGACGGGCUCUUCGGUUGCCUUUUCUCUCUCCCACGCGCACAGAGUGGCCCAGUUGCAUGCUGCAGUUUAUUGGCUGGAGUCGGGCUGCAGCUGCUCAUGCGUACACUAAUUAAUGCUGUGAAUGCGGGGCAUGGAAGGAAAUGGGCGCAUGCAAAAGGGUAUAUACGCAUACUAAUUAGAGAAAUACUAAAAAAAGUUAUGCACGGACAAAAGAGGACGGGAGGGAGUACUACUCAUGUUCCUACUACGGUUAAGGAAUAUGCAGUUAUCCUCAAAAAAGAAAAGUCCUUCUUCGCGCUUCCGCAUGCACGAGAAUUUGGUUCUGCUCGCAAUAUGGAUGAUAGCUGGAGGAUGAAGUGAACCCAGACGCAUGCUAGCACGGGAGUGUACUCAUGUUCCUACUACUACUACUACUACUACUACUACUACUACUACUACUACUACUACUACUACUACUACUACUACUACUACUACUACUACUACUACUACUACUACUACUACUACUACUACUACUACUACUACUACUACUACUACUACUACUACUACUACUACUACUACUACUACUACUGCUACUACUACUAGUAGUAGUAGUAGUAGUACAACUGUGGUACACUUGAUGGUCAAAAUACUAAUAUUCAUCUGGUCCUCACAGUGAAGUGACAAGACCCUGCGCCCACCAGUCUAGGCGGCGUGUACGGGUUACCAAAGUCAGCCUCACCUUGUGCACUAUGCAGUCACUAUCACCGCCGCUGUAUACCAUGCCUCGCCUCGUCUCCCUCUCCCCUAGCACCACUCCAUCUCCAUCUCCGUUUCGCCGGAGAUCCUGAGGUCACUCUUCAUUCUCUCAUUGUGCCCCCGCAUACCCUCGCUGUAACACCCCGGAUGUAACUUCCCAUAUUUGUAACUCCGACUCUGCCAUUUUCGGCUUUAAGUUAUGAGAUUCCCUUCAUGGUUGGGUUUUUGUCUUCGUUUUGCAUUUUGUUCAUGUCAUGCAUUUCAUAUCAUGUCAUCCUGUGCAUCACAUUGGCAUACGUGUUCGUCUCAUGCAUCCGAAGCUUUUUCCCAGUUGUCCGUUUUGCAAUCUGAUAGUCCUACAUGCACCGGCGCACCCCUCUUGUCUCUUUUCGUGAGCAGGUGUUAAACGUUCUCGGAAUGGAUCGAGAUUUGCCAAGUGGCCUUGGUACACCACCGGUAGACUGCCUGUCAAAUUUCGUUCCAUUUGGAGUCCGUUUGAUACUCCAACGGUUGACCGGGUAACCGCGAAGGCCUCGUGGGUGUUGCAGCCCAACACCCCUCCAAAACGGCGCAAUAACCCAUCUAAACCUCUUCCAUGUCCUCCGUCGUCGGAUCAUGAUCAUGUGGGCGAAAACUACACCUCGUUUGCACACUCCUACCUCCUCCUAGCUAUAAAUAUGUGACCCCCUCCGAAAAUUCAAGCGAAACCCUAGUCUCCUCCUUCCUCCGCGCGCCGGACAUGUCCGCCCGGCGCCGGACACGUCUGCCGCCGUCCCCUCGACGAAUCUCGCGCCGCCAUGUCAUCGCCCGCGCCGCCCCACUUCGCUGCCGGCCAACGGGGCCUAGAUCUGGCCCGCGCGAGCCCGCGCACCGCCGUCGCCUGGCUCGUCCUCCGCCACCAACCAUCGGCGAGCGCUGCCGCCCCGCUGACCGGACCCCGCCACCGCGCCCUGCGCCCGCAGCGCACCCCGCUGCCUCCUCUGCUCCCCAUCGCCGGCGAGCUUCUCCAGCCACCUCCUCUUCUCCGGCGACGCCCCCUCCUCGCCCGCAAGCUCCGGCCACCACGGUGACCUUCUCCGGCGAGCAAUCCCGGCCAUCCUCGAUAUUCGCACCAAACCCUAGAUCUGUAACCGAGAGGUUGUUUUUUCUCUAAGUCCCAAAUCCCUUAUAUUUUUAUGCCCCUGUUCAUCAUGCCAUAUCUCCGUGACCGUAGCUCCGUUUCAUGCGCACGAUAUAUCAAAAUGUUCAUUGUGAGAUGCCCUUCAUUUCAUUCCAUUGUGGCAUGCUUGUUUGAGUUCAUCUUGAUGAGAAAAGUAUUGAUGCAGGAGUGCUAUAAAAUGUUUACUGCUGCUACUUAUCAGAUUAUGAUGUUUUGUCAUUUUUGCCACAUUUGAUGUGUGCUUCAUAUGGGCGUGAUCUCUACAUAUGUUUUGAACUAUGCCAUGCCAUAUUUACAGAGGUGCUUGCCAUGUAUUUUUGUGAUCUUUUUGGUGACUAGCACAAGCAUGCAAAUUAGGCUUCGUGAUGUUGCUGAUUUCAGUGACUAAGGAUUUUGCUAACUCCUCAUCCUGCUGUUAUUUGGAUGCCAUGUAAACUUGAUGUUACAAUGAGAACCAUGCUUAUUUUGAGAUGCUUAAGUAAGUAGCUUUUGAACAUAUGGUUAUGCUCUAUCCAACCAUGCCCCUUUUUGCAAUUAUGGAGUGCCCUAGCAUGUCUUAAUCUUGCUCUACUUUUGCUAUAAAAUGUUCCUGGCAGAAUGGUAACAUGUUAAUCAAUUUUGCCAUGGUUGUUGCUAAUGAUCCAUGCAUGCUAUGAACUUGCUACUGCAAUGGUUAGCUUAAUGAACAUGUCAUCUUAAUGUUUCUAUGCUUGUUUUGUCAUGCAAUUCUUUGUGGUGAGUGAUUUGAGCUCGCAAAGUUGCCUUCAUAAUUCUGUUUAUGCCAUGCUCUAUUUUUCUGCCAAGUCUGAAACUGUUAAUAAAACUUGCUAUACAUGGGUGCCAUCAUAUCUUCUGUGCCUUUUUGGCUCAUGUUCAGUAAGGGACUUUUGUUCUAUGUAUUUAGUAGAAUCAUGACAUGCCUUUGUUUGCUAUGAUAUGUUCCUGUAGCAUGUUGUUUGCUUGCUCUAAACAUGGCUUCCUGAUGUUAUUUCUGGCAUGUUAGUAUUUUCACUAAGUCUGUGAAGCUGAUAUCUUUUGCACUUUUUCCAUGCUUGUUUGAACCUGCUCUUGUGUGAUUUAGCCUAGCUCAGUGUUCAUGUUUUGUCAAGCAUCUUGUGUACAUCACUGCCAUAUGCUUUGUUGCUAUGUUGGAGUGCAGUAGCUUAGUUUCUUGUUGCAUGCUAAGUAGCAUCGUGCUGUUAAUUACAGUUUUGCACCAUCCUUAUUUUGCUUGCCAUUUGCAAACCGUGCAUCCGUUUUCGGUGAUCUUUAUAUCGAUUUCAACCGAAAUUAUCUCAUCUUUCCAGCAGCACACUUGGAUUUCCAAGUUGAUGCCUUGAUCAUUCUUUCCCUUCCGGAGCACGCAUAUGCAUUGCAUAUCAUGUCUUGCAUAUCAUGCCAUGUUUUGCAUCAUGUGGCUUGUGCAUUGCAUCGUGAUUGAUUGUUGGUCCUUCUCUUGUUUUCUUGCUUUGGGUAGAGCCGAGAAACGAGUAUGUGAUCGAGGAACCUAUUGAGUACGCUAACGAGGAUCAAGCUUUCGACAACUCUGAGAACUUUGCAGGCAAGAUGACCAUACCCUCAAAAUCACUUCUAUCAUUGCUUGCUAGUUGUUCGCUCUAUUGCUAUGCCGUGCUACCUACCACUUGCUAUAUCAUGCGUCCCAUAUUGCCAUGUCAAGCCUCUAACCCACCUUUCCUAGCAAACCAUUGUUUGGCUAUGUUACCGCUUUUGCUCAGCCCCUCUUAUAGCGUUGCUAGUUGCAGGUGAAGAUGAAGCUUGUCCCAUGUUGGAACAUGGAUAUUGUUGGGAUAUCAUUAUUACAUCUUAUUUACUUUAAUGCAUCUAUAUACUUGGUAAAGGGUGGAAGGCUCGGCCUUAUGCCUGGUGUUUUGUUCCACUCUUCCUGCCUUAGUUUCCAUCAUAUCAGUGUUAUGUUCCUAGAUUUUGCGUUCCUUACACGGUUGGGUGUUAUGGGAACCCCUUGAUAGUUCGCUUUGAAUACAACUCCUCCAGCAAGGCCCAACCUUUGUUUUACCAUUUGCCUACCUACCACCAUAUACCUUUCCCUUGGGUUCUGCAGACUCAAGGGUCAUCUUUAUUUUAAACCCCCCUGGGCCAGUGCUCCUCUGAGUGUUGGACCGUAAUGGGCAGCCUGCGGGGCCACCUCGGGGCAACUCGAGGGUUGGUUUUACUCAUAGCUUGACCACCUCGGGGCAACGAGAUACGUGCGACUCCUAUCAGGAUUUUUUGGCACAUCGGGCGGCUUUGCUAGUCUUGUUUUACCAUUGUGGAAAUGUCUUGUAAACGGGAUUCCGAGACUGAUCGGGUCUUCUCGGGGGAAGGGAUAUCGUUCGUUGACCGUGAGAGCUUUUGAUGGGCUAAGUUGGGACACCCCUGCAGGGUUUUGAACUUUCGAAAGCCGUGCCCGCGGUUAUGUGGCAGAUGGGAAUUUGUUAAUAUCCGGUAGUAGAGAACUUGACACUUAACUUAAUUAAAAUGAAUCAACCGCGUGUGUAGCCGUGAUGGUCUCUUUUCGGCAGAGUCUAGGCAGAGAACACGGCCUUGUGUUAUGCUUGAGCGUAAGUAGCUUCAGGAUCACUUCUUGAAAACUUAUAACUUCUCGACCAUGCGUUGCUUCUCUUUCCAUGUCAUUGAUAAAGACGAUGAACCGUUAUGUACGAGUUCGUUGGUUUCAACAUAGCCCUACCCGUAGCGAGCCAGUGCUUCCAUCCUGAUUGUGCCGCCUGCGUGAAAUUUUUGUAUGCAAGUUCAGUGUGCUAUGAUGUUCUAUAUGAUUGUGUCAACUAUAUAUGUUUUUACUGAGCAUCAACAAUGCAUAUGGCUGAAAGAUGUAUUUACGAGCAUCGACCGAUGGGUCUCUCUCUCUCACACACACACGCACACACGCACAAGUGGGACCCGUUGAAUUAUUUCUUUGCUCGUGACAGCUUUUAAUUAGGUUCCACUGUAAUCUAACUUUUUUCUUAAGUUAUUAAUUGAGCUCAGUUACUUCAAAAAGUUGUACAGAAGCCUUGUUUGGGCCUUUCUGGCGUUGCUGAGUGUGGGCUGAGUAGCCAUGUUAGGUUGUACUGUACUACACAGGCCUUUUUUUUCAACAUCAGCAAUGCAACUGGGCCGACAGUUGUACACAAUAUCCGGGUCAACUUGUUAUUCUCUGCCCCGCUGGGCUGCAAACUUCCCUAAGAGAUAUGCAUUCGGCUUAACAAGAAAAUGAACUUUAAGAAAUAAUAAAUGGGAUAUAAUUAUAAUAACUGGGCAGUAACUAUUAAAAAAUGCACCAAACACGUAAUUAGUUUAAAAAAUAUAUUAUUUUCGGAAUUUGAAAAUUUUAAUUUCAUUACUUGUUGCGCGCACAAUAUUUCGUUGGAUUUUAACAUAAUACAACUUUAUUUUGAUAUUAUAUUUAAUCUGACUAGAAAUUUCGGAUAAAAAUAUUUCGGAUCCUAUAAAAAUGUGGGAUUUUUUUUGAAUUCUGUUUUGAGCGGUUGCUUGAAAUUAUUAAUCGUUGUCCUAGCUAGAAAAUGGGCUGUACUUUUAACAAACUGUAAAUGGGCUAUAGUAAAUUCCAUUAGAAUAAAAAAAUGGGUUGUACAUUCUUACAAAUCGCAAAUGGGCUAUAUGUUCUCUGCCACACACUUGUGGGCCUUCUAAGUUGACGCGUCACCUAAAAAAACUAAGUUGAUGCGUAUGCAAGGCUUUGUCAACAACACACGGUUCUGGCAGCUGUGGCCAUUGGAUGUCCAUCCAACGGAUGUCAUGCUUCUUCUUCAAUCUCGAAUAUUCUUGCUUCAGCCGCCCAAAAAAUGAUUCCUCCCCCUGACAUCUAGGGCGCACCGUUUCGGAGGGUGACCCGUGGGCCUACUAAGUUGACGCGUACCAAGGGCUUUGUCAACUUAGUCAAUAUAAACGAUUCUAGCUGCAGUGACCGUACGAUGUCUAUCCAACAGCCGUAGUGCUUCUUCAACCUCUGGUCUUCUUGCUCCAGCCGCCCAAAGGAGCGCCGGUCGUGCCGCGUGCUCCUGCCUCCCAUGGCCGGCUGUGAUGCCGCGGAGGCCUCACCGCCCCUACUACUCCCACCGCUGGCCAGGCCAUUCCUCUACUCACCCACACCCCCUGUUAUUCCGCGGCGACGACAGCCUCACACCGCAGCCGAACCAGUGAACCCUCGUACUCCUCUCCGCGCGGGCUUCCACUGCCGCGUCUUCCCCGGCUCCGCAUCGUCCCCUUCCUAGGCCUCGCCGUCGUCCACCGCCCUGGUCAACGUGGUCAAGGAACGGCUUCCAUCGGACAUGGACUAUACGUGGAGAUGCUGACAGCUGGGUCGACGACGGCAGCAAGGAAGUGCCUCCUUAUUACGCGGAAAAUAAUGAUUCCUCCACCUGACAGCAGGGACCCACCGGACGGGCCGUCGUAUUUCACGAAAAAAUGUUUCCCCCCUGUCUGUUGGGACCCACCAGACGGGCCACCGUAUUGCGCGAAAAAACGUCCCCCCCCCCCGCUGUCAGCUCGGACCCACCGGAAGUGCCUCCUUAUUACGCACAAAAAAUGAAUACUCACCCUGCUGGUUGGGACCCACCUUGGUGGGAGGCUAGCUUGUGGGCCUACUAAGUUGACGGGGACAGAGUGCAUUUUCAACUUAGUCAAUAUGAACAAUUCUAGCUCCAGUGACCGUACGAUGUCCAUCCAACGACCGUAGUACUUCUUCAACCUCUGGUCUUGUUGCUCCAGCCGCCCAAAGUAGCGCCGGUCGUGCCGCAUGCUCCUGCCUCCCAUGGCCGCCUAUGCUGCCAUGGAGGCCUCACCGCCCCCUACUAUUCCCACCGUUGGCCAGGCCAUCCCUCUACUCACCCACACCUCCUUUAUUCUGCGGCGAUGACAACCUCACACCGCAGCGAACCAGUGAAACCUCGUACUCCUCUAUGCAUGGGCACCCACUGCCGCAUCUUCCCCGGCUCCGCGCCGUCCCCUUCCUAGGCCUCGCCGUCGUCCACCGCCCUGGUGCUCUCGGCACGACGUGGUCAACAUGGUCAAGGAACGACUUCCAUAGGACGUGGACUGUACGUGGAGAGGCUGACAGCUGGGUCCACGGCCGCAGCAAGGAAGUGCCUCCUUAUUACGCGCGAAAUAAUUAUUCCUCCACCUGACAGCGGGGACCCACCGGGCGGGCCACCGUAUUUCGUGAAAAAAACGUUCCCCCCUGACUGCUGGAACCCACUGAUGAGGACAUCAAUACAAUUGUUACACCCACAGCCCCUGCUACUAUACAUACUGGACCAAUUACUAGAGGUCGCGCACGCCAAUUGAAUUAUCAGGUACUUUCGUUUCUUGGUAACGAUUCUAAUGUUCAUGAGAAUAUGAUGCUACCUAAAUUCGAUACAUUUGUCUUGCUUAGAAAUGAAGGGCCUAGCUUGGACAAGAAAGAUGAACCUUGGAACAAGUUCAAGUGUGGAGAUGAUGGCAUGCGCAAGAGGGUCCAGAACGGAGUUACAAGUGAUGAUUUCAGGACUUUGAAGCCACCAUAAGGAGUGCAUGAAGCCUUGGACGAAAUAUACAAGAUGCCACUUCAUAAAUUUCGUCCAGAGGCUAUUUUAGGUGCUGCGUCACCUUAUUAUUGGGCCAGGCCCAUGUAUUUUCGAAAUACUUAAGUAUAGGUUGUUUUUAGAGUCCGUAUGUGUGGGGAAACAAGAGUUAGGGUUGGUUUUGGACCCCUCUUCCAAGGGCCACGAAAUUCCCCCCUCUUCCUCCAUAUAUACAGCCCUUAGGGCGUCGUUUAGACUUUGGGUUUUGUUUAGAUUAAAAGUUCGCCAUAGCUGCAACUUCGCGUACUUCGUUUGUGUCCAACGACCAGACUAAGACGUCACAGAACCCCACCUUGAUCAAUAAAGCUUUCAUCUUAUAUUCGCAAUAUCCAGAUUGCAAUCUUAGUUUCUUGCUUGUUAUUCGUUUGCUCGCAGGAAACAGGCCCUCGUGGUCAGGUUGAUCUUGCUCAUGCGUGGUCAAUAACCCCUCGGAGUUGGUUUAGCGAUUGCUAAGGCGUGACGUCCUCGCACGUUCGUAGUCGGAUCGUCAAAGUUGACUUCCUCUAAAACAAUAGCCACCAUCUCAUUGAAAGACGGGACACCUUUGCCUCUAUCAAGUGGUAUCAGAUUUUCAGGUUGCUCGGUGAGAUUUUCCAGUUUUCAUAGUUUAGAUCGAGUCUGUUCUUUAUACCAACAGUCCACGAAAAAAGGCAACAAAAAAAUUAGGGUUAGUUCAUCAUAUCUGAGCCUUUGCAUAGUCUUUUUAGAGUUUUGCUUUGUUGAAUUUGCGGUGGCAUCGUCGUGUCGAGUUGCUGGUCUUAGCGUCUAGUCCCUUAGAGUUUCGAGUUCUAUUCACAGGUUGUCACGCCGCCGCCGCACCAUCGUCAUCAUCAUUGCCAUAUACCACCACCCCACCAUAUACAUCGCCGCUGCCAUAUACAAUCACCAAUCCGAGUCCAGAUAUACCAUCGCCAUAUACAACCACCAGUCCGAGUUCCACCAAAUUCAUCGCCGCCACCAGUCCGAGUUCCACCAGAUUCAUCUCCGCUACCAGUCCUAGUCUGAGUCCAGUAUUUGUUGCUUUGUUUUUGAGUUCCAGAUCACGCGAUACUUCGAGUCGUGACAGAUUAGGACUCCUGAGAUUCCGUGCUACCCGCAGAAGAAAAAUAGUUCCAAACUCAAAAAAAAACUAAGUCCGGAAAAUUCUGGCUAGGCAGUUUUUAGACCAUUUGUAGACUUUUUCGAAAAAAAAUUGUUGCGGAGCAAAAAAAAGAGGAAAAAAAGUGCAAAAAAAAUUCAGAGAGUGCUCCUCCCUUGUUUACGUGUCGCGCCGUGAUUUUGUUCGUGUUCUAGGCUCGCGUCUCUAGUAUAGUCUAGCCUAGGACCAGCACAGUACUGUCGUUGAGCGUUUAUUCAACUUUGCAUCUCUGAAUUGAUUAUUGCUGACCCUUUUUGCUACCAUAUUAUAAGCCUUCCCGGCUCCACAUACAUCUACGUCAUGCGUUUGACUCUCCCUGGUAAUCGCUCUAUCCAAGCUUUGAGAGUUUUGACUAUGACGGUUGCCGAUCACCGCCUGCUGCUAGGUAAGAACUGGUAAGAAUUUGAAAUUUGCUUGACGGAUUUUUGACAUCCACCACCACCUCUUGUUAGUAGUCUGUAGGAUCAUAUUCUUGUGCGUUUCUAUUGCUGCUAACCAUGGCAAGAUCACAAGCCGACGAGACUGACUGGGAGAACAUGACGAAUAAGGAGUUGCAUGAUAAAUUUCAGCAAAUGAUGAGUGGACAGGUGCAAGAUAUGCUAAACAGAUUUGAAGAGGCCAUGGAGAAGAUAGAUGGCAUGGAGAAGACUUUCGAAAUAGAGCUCGAUAACAAGUUUAAUGAAUUGCUCGCACGUCUUCCACCACCACCACCGGCUGCCCCUACAACAACAACAACAACAACAACAACAACAACAACAACAACAACAACAACAACAACAACACCACCACCAACAACAACGUCGCUUUCCAAAUCAAGUGGGACGAGCACAACGCGUUCCCAUUGACCCUGGGCAAAAUUCUGGUGCCGCUGUUGAUGCUUCGGCCGCUCCUGCUGCUACUGCAGACGUGGAGGACCAUUACGAGGAUGAGGUUGACCAAAAUCAGAACUACGUGCAACCACCAGCACCACCACCACCAGGUCGUCCUCAUGCAGAUCAUCGCAACGGUAGGGCUGCACCACUACUUGAGGUACAUGACCAUCUUCCUAUACUAAAAUUGAAUAUUUCACAAUUUGAGGGUAGAUAUGUUCCUGAUAUAUAUCUUACUUGGGAGUUAGAAACUGAACAACGAUUUACAUGUUUACAAUAUCCUGAGGAGAGACGUGUUCCUGCUGCUGUUUGUGCUUUCACUAGCAUUUCAUGUGUUUGGUGGUCUGAACAUUGUAGAUUAUAUCAUAUUCCAACUACUUGGGCUGCUUUGAAAACUGCUAUGCAUACUCGUUGGGUUCCACCAUAUUAUCAACGUGAAUUACUUCAAAAAUUGCAGCGUUUAAGACAAGAAAAAAAUUCUGUAGAAGAAUAUUAUCAGGAAUUACAAACUGGCAUGAUUAGAUGUGGUAUUGUUGAGGAGAAUGAAGCUAUGCUUGCAUGUUUUACGGGUGGAUUGAAUAGAGAGAUUCAGACCAUUCUAGAGUAUAAGGAGUAUACUAAUAUCACUCGUUUAUUCCAUCUUGCUUGUAAAGCUAAACGUGAAGUGCAGGAUCGACAGGCAUUGGCGCGAACUAACUUUUCUGCAGGUCGAUCUUCAUCAUGGACACCACGUGCAUCCUCUACUUCCACUCCACCAGCACCUCCAUCGGGUGCCACCUCCAGUCGUGAUACAAGAAAGCAGGCACAACAACCACUAUCUGCCAAGAGCACACUUGCCGGACCUGCGAAGAGCUCUUCCUUGUCCAUGGCAUCAACAGGGCACACAAGUGAUAUUAUUUGUCGUCGUUGUAAGGGAAGAGGAUAUUUUGCGAGAGAAUGCGAAUCUCAGCGUGUGAUGAUUGCUACUGAGGAUGGUGGGUAUGAGUCCGCUAGUGACUAUGAUGAGGAGACUUUGGCUCUUAUUACACGUGAAGAACAUGAUGGAGAUGAUUCUGAUCAUGAGACGCAAUACAUGGCUCCUGAAGAUGCUGACAGGUAUGAAUGUUUAGUUUCUCAACGUGUUUUGAGUGUGCAGGUCACACAAGCUGAGCAAAAUCAAAGGCAUAAUUUGUUCCAUACAAAGGGAGUUGUGAAGGAACGUUCUGUUCGCGUCAUCAUAGAUGGAGGGAGCUGCAAUAACUUGGCUAGCAUGGAGAUGGUGGAGAAGCUAUCUCUCACCACAAGACCACAUCCACAUCCUUACUAAUCCAAUGGUUCAACAACAAUGGCAAGGUUAAGGUAACACGUACUAUUCGUGUGCAUUUUAGUAUCUCUACAUAUGCUGAUUAUGUUGAUUGUGAUGUGGUACCUAUGCAAGCAUGUUCCUUAUUACUUGGCAGACCAUGGCAAUUUGAUAAAAAUUCUGUACACCAUGGUAGAAACAAUUAGUAUACGCUUGUUCAUACGGAUAAAAAUAUUACUUUGCUUCCUAUGACUCCUGAUUCCAUUUUGAAAGAUGAUACUAAUAGAGCUAAUAAACCAAAACAGGAGAAAAAUAAAAGUGAAACUCAGAUUGUGGCAAAAGAAUUUGAGCAACAAAUGAAGCCUCAUAAUAAACCAUCUAGUGUUGCUUCUGAAAUUAAAUUGAAAAGUGCAUGUUUAAUUGCCACCAAAAUCUGAUAUUGAUGAUUUAGAUUUUAGCAAAUCUGUUUGCUAUGCUUUUGUGUGCAAAGAGGCAUUAUUUUCAUUCGAGGACGUGCCUUCCUCUUUGCCUCCUGCUGUCACUAACAUUUUGCAGGAGUUCGCUGACGUCUUUCCACAAGACGUGCCACCGGGAUUACCACCUAUUCGAGGGAUUGAGCAUGAAAUUGACUUAAUUCCCGGUGCAACAUUACCCAACCGUGCACCAUACCAUACCAAUCCAGAGGAGAUGAAGGAGAUUAUGCGUCAAGUACAAGAACUGCUCGACAAAGGUUAUAUACGCGAAUCCCUUAGUCCUUGUGCUGUUCCUAUCAUUUUAGUGCCGAAAAAGGAUGGUACGUCACGUAUGUGCGUUGAUUGUAGAGGCAUUAAUAAUAUUACUAUUCAUUAUCGUCAUCCUAUUCCUAGGCUAGAUGAUAUGCUUGAUGAAUUGAGUGGCUCUACAAUAUUCUCCAAAGUUGAUUUGCGUAGUGGAUACCAUCAAAUUCAUAUGAAAUUGGAAGAUGAAUGGAAAACAACAUUUAAAACUAAGUUUGGAUUAUAUGAGUGGUUAGUCAUGUCUUUUGGGUUAACUAAUGCACCUAGUACUUUCAUGAGGUUAAUGAACGAAGUUUUACGUGCUUUAUCGGACGAUUUGUGGUAGUUUACUUUGAUGACAUAUUGAUUUAUAGCAAACCUUUGGAGGAACAUUUGGAACAUUUACGUGAUGUUUUUAUUGCUCUACGUGAUGCACGUUUGUUUGGUAACCUCGGAAAGUGCACCUUUUGCACCGACCGAGUAUCUUUUCUUGGCUAUGUAGUUACUCCACAGGUAAUUGAAGUUGAUAAAGCCAAGAUUGAAGCUACUGAGAGUUGGCCGCAGCCCAAAACGGUCACACAAGUGAGGAGUUUCCUUGGCCUUGCUGGUUUCUAUAGGCGUUUUGUGAGAGAUUUCAGCACCAUUGCUACACCUCUCAACGAGCUUACAAAGAAGGAUGUGCCUUUUGUUUGGGGUUCCGCACAGGAAGAAGCCUUCAUGGUAUUGAAAGAUAAGUUGACACAUGCUCCUUUACUCCAACUUCCUAAUUUUAAUAAGACUUUUGAGCUUGAAUGUGAUGCUAGUGGAAUUGGAUUAGGAGGUGUGUUAUUACAAUAUGGCAAACCUAUUGCAUAUUUUCUGAAAAAUUGAGUGGGCCUAGUCUGAACUAUUCUACUUAUGACAAAGAAUUAUAUGCUCUUGUUCGGACCUUAGAAACAUGGCAGCAUUAUUUAUGGCCCAAGGAAUUUGUUAUACAUUCUGAUCAUGAAUCUUUGGAACACACUAAAAGUCAAGUAAAACUAAACCGUAGACAUGCUAAAUGGGUUGAAUUCAUUGAGACUUUUCCUUAUGUCAUUAAACACAAGAAGGGUAAGGAAAAUGUUAUUGCUGAUGCAUUGUCUCGUCGUUAUACUAUGCUUUCACAACUUGACUUUAAAAUAUUUUGUUUGGAGACUAUCAAAGAUCAAUAUGUGCAUGAUGCUGAAUUUAAAGAUGUAUUGCAUAAUUGUAAGGAAGGGAGAACUUGGAACAAGUUCGUUCUUAACGAUGGAUUUGUGUUUCGUGCUAACAAGCUUUGCAUUCCAGCUAGCUCUGUUCGUCUUUUGUUGUUGCAGGAGGCGCAUGGAGGAGGAUUAAUGGGACACUUUGGCGUCAAGAAGACGGAGGAUAUACUUGCUACACAUUUCUUUUGGCCAAAGAUGAGACGGGAUGUUGAGCGUUUUGUUGCUCGCUGCACUACAUGUCAAAAAGCUAAGUCACGACUCAAUCCUCAUGGUUUAUAUAUGCCUUUGCCUGUACCUAGUGUUCCUUGGGAGGAUAUAUCUAUGGACUUUGUUUUAGGUUUACCUCGAACAAAUAAGGGGAGGGAUAGCAUAUUUGUUGUCGUGGAUAGGUUCUCGAAAAUGGCACACUUUAUACCAUGUCAUAAAAGCGACAAUGUUGUUAAUGUUGCUGAUUUGUUCUUUCGUGAAAUUAUUCGCUUGCAUGGUGUGCCAAAUACUAUUGUUUCAGAUCGUGAUACUAAAUUUCUUAGCCACUUUUGGAGAUGUUUAUGGGCUAAGUUGGGGACUAAACUGCUUUUUCGUACUACUUGUCACCCCCAAACUGAUGGACAAACUGAAGUAGUCAAUAGAACAUUGUCUACUAUGCUUAGGGCUGUUUUGAAGAAUAACAAGAAAAUGUGGGAAGAAUGCUUGCCUCAUAUUGAAUUUGCUUAUAAUCACUCAUUGCAUUCUACUACUAAGAUGUGCCCUUUUGAAAUUGUGUAUGGUUUCCUACCUCGUGCACCUAUUGAUUUGUUGCCUCUUCCAUCUUCGGAGAAGGUUAAUUUUGAUGCUAAAGAACAUGCUGAAUUGAUUUUAAAAAUGCAUGAGUUAACUAAGGAAAACAUUGAGCGUAUGAAUUCUAAAUAUAAACUUGCUGGAGAUAAGGGUAGAAAACAUGUUGUAUUUGCACCUGGAGAUCUUGUUUGGUUACAUUUGCGUAAGGAUAGAUUUCCUAAUUUGUGCAAAUCAAAGCUAAUGCCACGUGCUGAUGGUCCUUCUCAGGUGUUAGAGAAAAUAAAUGAUAAUGCAUAUAAACUUGAGCUGCCUGCAGAUUUUGGGGUUAGUCCCACUUUUAACAUUGCAGAAUUGCAGCCUUAAUUGGGUGAGGAUGAUGAACUUUCGUCGAGGAUGACUUCAUUUCAGGAAGGGGGUGAUGAUGAGGACACCAAUACCAUUGUUACACCCGCAGCCCCUGCUGCUAUACAUACUGGACCACUUAAUAGAGCUCGCGCACGCCAAUUGAAUUAUCAGGUACUUUUGUUUCUUGGUAACGAUUCUAAUGUUCAUGAGAAUCUGAUGCUGCCUAAAUUGGAUACAUUUGUCUUGCUUACAAAUGAAGGGCCUAGCUUGGACAAGAAAGAUGAACCUUGGAACAAGUUCAAGCGUGGAGAUGAUGGCAUGCACAAGGGGAUCCAGAAUGGAGUUACAGGUGAUGAUUUCAGGACUUUGAAGCCACCAUAAGGAGUGCAUGAAGCCUUGGACGAAAUAUACAAGAUGCCACUUCAUAAAUUUUGUCCAAAGGCUAUUUUAGGUGCUACAUCACCUUAUUAUUGGACCAGGCCCAUGUAUUUUCGAAAUACUUAAGUAUGGGCUGUUUUUAGAGUCCGUAUGUGUGGCGAAACAAGAGUUAGGGUUGGUUUCGGACCCCUCUUCCAAGGGCCACGAAAUUCCCCCCUCUUCCUCCAUAUAUACAGCCCUUAGGGCAUCGUUUAGACUUUGGGUUUUGUUUAGAUUAAAAGUUCGCCAUAGCUGCAACUUCACGUACUUCGUUUGCAUCCAACGACCAGACCAAGACGUCACAAAACCCCACCUUGAUCAAUAAAGCUUUCAUCUUAUAUUCGCAAUAUCCAGAUUGCAAUCUCAGUUUCUUGCUUGUUCUUCGUUUGCUUGCAGGAAACAGACCCUCGUGGUCAAGUUGAUCAUGCUCCGGCGUGGUCAAUAACCCCUCGGAGUUGGUUUAGCGAUUGCUAAGGCGCGACGUCCUUGCACGUUCGUAGUCGGAUCAUCAAAGUCGACUUCCUCUAAAAUGAUAGCCACCACCUCAUCGAAAGACGGGACACCUUUGCCUCUAUCACCCACCAGCUACAUCUUUGCACGCAAGGAAGUGCGUCCGGGCAAAAAAAAACGAUUCGCCCCCCUGACUGCUGGGACCCACCAGCUAAAUCUUCGCAUGCAAGGAAGUGUCUGACAGUCGGGACCCACCUGGUCGAAGUGUACGUAGCAUUGUCAUUCUAGUCGCGGUUGUGUAUGUACAUACUGGUCGAUGUAGAGGCACACACGUGUCGUAGUAGAGGCGCGCACGUAGCAUGUACACAUACGUACAGCGGCCAGGGUGCAAGAAAGUAAAUACAGCCACGGACGUACAUAUGGGCGGGGUCUCGAACGCCUACUCGCGCGUACGUACGGCCAGGGCUCGUGUACAUGGCUGGGCCAGAACGGAGAAACAACAUCGUCGUCGUGUUCAUGGGGAGCCAACCGGCUGGGUCGGAACAGAAUGCGUCGUCGUGUUCAUCAGGAGGGCUUGGACAGAACAACCGAUGGAAACGAGGCCUGGUGUACCGCAGAACGGAGGAAACGGCCAUGUGUUCGACCGGCCAUGUUCGAAACGGGAUCCUGUUCAUCAGGAGGGGUCUGGCGUACCGCAAAACGGAGGAAACGGACCUUCUACGAUCGAAACGGGGGUCUUGUUCAUCGGGAGGGGUGUGGCGUACCGCAAAACGGAGGAAACAGACUUGUGUUGGAGCGCUACGGUCGAAACGGGGGUCCUGUUCAUCGGGAGGGGUUUGGCGUACCGCAAAACGGGACUCCACGGGAUACUGUUCAUUUCCACCGUCGACCCCCUCCAGCCUCCACGGGCUACUGUCCAUCCACCAUCGACCUCCUCCAGCCUCCACCUGCGACUAUUCAUCCACUGGCUCCUGUUCAUCCAGCCUCCACCGCGCGCUACUCCACCGGCUACUGUUCAACCAGCCCUCUCCAUGGGCUCCUGUUCAACCACCCCUCCAUGGGGUGGUCCUGUUCAUCCAGCCCUCCACCGUCUAUUGUUCAUCCUGCCCUCCACGGGGUGGUCCCGUUCAUCCUGCCCUCCACGGGAUCCUGUUCAGCCAGCCCCAACUGGCUCGAUUGAUCAGGGUCCUGUUCAUCCAGAGGCAAGACCACGGGGCCCUGUUCAUCCACCCCCACCGGGAACUGUUCAUCCAAACCCCCCAGUAACGCUCACUGUUCAUCCAGAGGCAGCAUCGAUCGGAUUCAGUUGGCAGCAGUAGCGAAGGAAUCGCUCGACCGGGUUCAGUUAACAGCCAUCGAUCGGUCGCCCGGGUUCAGUAACGCAUAGCCUGCAGUGCAAUCGCUCGGGUUCAGUUAGAGCCCAACGCCUCGCACCCACGCGCGUGCGUGUACGAGAGAAACGCGCAUCGCUCGGCCCCAACCACCCACCGUAACCGGGAACACCCCGAUAUUUUCCUCGCCCUCACUUCUACCAAGGUUUUUUCUGUCAUGGACGGCCCAAAGAAUGUCAUGCAGCUGCGUCUCCGGCCCGCCCAGGACGAAAAGCCCAUUUUCUGUCAUGAUUUUUUAUCAUAGAAGUAGGACCCCACCACAUCUAUGAUGAUACCAGGUUUUGUCACAAUUAUCGUCAUAGAAGUGUCAUAGGUAUGACAGAAAAGAAUUUCAUUCGGCCAAAAAUGUCACGGAUGUGUCUUUUUUUGUAGUGAUAUUGCGAAUAUAAGAGGAAAGCUUUAUUGAUCAAGGUGGGGUUCUUUGGCGCCUUUGUCUGGUCAUUGAACACAAAUGAAGUACGCUAAGUUGCUGCUAUGGCGAACUUUUAAUCUAAACAAAACCCAAAGUCUAAACGACUCCCUAAGGGCUAUAUAUAUGGAUGAAGAGGGGGGAAUUUCGUGGCCCUUGGAGGAGGGGUCCGAAAUCAACCCUAACUCUUGUUUCCCCAUACAUACGGACUCUAAAAACAGCCUAUACUUAAGUAUUUUGAAAAUACAUGCGCCUGGCCCAAUAAUAAGGUGACACAUCACCUAGAACAACCUCUAGACGAAAUUUAUGAUGUGGCAUCUUGUAUAUUUCGUCCAAGGCUUCAUGCACUCCUUAUGGUGGCUUCAAAGUCCUGAUAUCAUCACUUGUAACUCCGUUCUUGAUCCCCUUGCGCAUGCCAUCAUCUCCAUGCUUGGUCUUGCUCCAGUGUUCAUCCCUCUUAUCCAUGCCAGGGCCUUCAUUUGUAAGCAAAAUAAAUGUAUCCAAUUUAGGCAGCAUCAUGUUCUCAUGAACAUUCGAAUCAUUACCAAGAAACGAAAGUACCUGAUAAUUUAAUUGGCGUGCGUGAGCUCUAGUAAUUGGUCCAGUAUGUAUAGUAGCAGGGGCUGUGGGUGUAACAAUGAUAUGGAUGUCCUCAUCAUCCUCCCCUUCUUAAAAUGAAGUCGUCCUCGACGGAAGCUCAUCUUCCUCACCCAAAUAAGGCUUCAAAUCUGCAAUGUUAAAAGUGGGACUAACCCCGAAAUCUGCAGGCAACUCAAGUUUAUAUGCAUUAUCAUUUAUUUUCUCGAACACCUUAAAAGGACCAUCAGCACGUGGCAUUAGCUUUGAUUUGCACAAAUUAGGAAAUCUAUCCUUACGCAAAUGUAACCAAACAAGAUCUCCAGGUGCAAACACAACAUGUUUUCUACCCUUAUCUCCAACAAGUUUAUAUUUAGCAUUCAUACGCUCAAUGUUUUCCUUAGUUAACUCAUGCAUUUUAAAAUCAAUUCAACACGUUCUUUAGCAUCAAAAUUAACCUUCUCCGAAGAUGGAAGAGGCAACAAAUCAAUAGGUGCACGAGGUAGGAAACCAUACACAAUUUCAAAAGGGCACAUCUUAGUAGUGGAAUGCAAUGAACGAUUAUAAGCAAAUUCAAUAUGAGGCAAGCAUUCUUCCCACAUGCAAGCAUUCUUCCCACAUUUUCUUAUUAUUCUUCAAAACAUCCCUAAGCAUAAUAGACAAUGUUCUAUUCACUACUCUAGUUUGUCCAUCAGUUUGGGGGUGACAAGUAGUACUAAAAAGCAGUUUAGUCCCCUACUUAGCCCAUAAACAUCUCCAAAAGUGGCUAAGAAAUUUAGUAUCAUGAUCUUAAACAAUAGUAUUUGGCACACCAUGCAAGCAAAUAAUUUCACGAAAGAACAAAUCAGCAACAUUAACGGCAUCAUCGCUUUUAUGACAUGGUAUACAGUGUGCCAUUUUCGAAAAUCUAUCCACGACAACAAAUAUGCUAUCCCACCCCUUGUUUGUUCGAGGUAAACCUAAAAAAAUGUCCAUAGAUAUAUCCUCCCAAGGAACACUAGGUACAGGCAAAGGCUUAUAUAAACCAUGAGGAUUGAGUCGUGACUUAGCUUUUUCACAUGUAGUGCAGCGAGCAACAAAACGCUCAACAUCCCGUCUCAUCUUUGGCCAAAAGAAAUGUGUAGCAAGUAUAUCCUCCGUCUUCCUGACGCCAAAGUGUCCCAUUAAUCCUCCUCCAUCCGCCUCCUGCAACAACAAAAGACGAACGGAGCUAGCUGUAAUGCAUAGCUUGUUAGCACGAAACACAAAUCCAUCGUUAAGAACGAAUUUGUUCCAAGUUCUCCCUUCCUUACAAUUCUGCAAUACAUCUUUAAAUUCAGCAUCAUGCACAUAUUGAUCUGUGAUGGUCUCCAAACCAAAUAUUUUAAAGUCAAGUUGUGAAAGCAUAAUGAUGCGAAGCAUCCCACGUUCAUCCCCAUGUACACUCCGAAUACUCUCUAGGCUCCAAGGAUACAUUAGAUGAUACCUCGACUAUACACCAUUGGACACAAGGUGAACUCGCUCCUCUCCGAACUUUCACUCUCUACAUGUGAGACAUGGCUACUACCUCCAACAUGUGUGCUAUGCAUGAUUAGGAAAGCCACAGAGCCACCACAUCCAAUGGACGAGCUAGCGAGGACGCCAAGUACAAGGACCAAGAGAGGAAGCUCCAGCCACCGGACGACCGAUCAGGACCGGACGUCCGAUGCCUGAAGACCCACCGGACGACCGGCCCGGACAGGACGACCGGCGAUCCCGCACCCGAUACUAAAUGAGCGGACGUCCGACAAGUCCCGGACGUCCGGCACACUCCAGCGUCCGGAUGUCCGACCGUCCCCGGAAAUCCGGUGCCACCUCAACCGAGCCAAAACGCCAGACGUCCGACAAGUACCGGACGACCGGACCCUCGCGAGCCACCGAACGUUCGGUACCUGUCGGACGACCGGCGCCUUUGCGCUGCCAUGUGUUGGGCCGUAGCCCAUGUACCCCCCCCACUUCGCGCCCCUUUUGCACUAAGACUAUAAAUAGACCUCCUAUUCAGCCUAGCUAGGGUUAGCAUUGGUUUAGCUCAUUUGAGAGAUAGAGCAUUGCUCAUCCACAUCGGAUCUACUCCUCGAGAGAGACCGCGGCCUCUUCGGAGAAGAUCCCUUUGGAUUCAAGACCUCCUCGCGAAGAAGAACAUCAAGACCACCUCACGGAGAAGACCGGCUACCCUUGUAUCGUCCCUAGUUGAUCGUCUACCGUGUGAACUCUUGUGUAUCCGAGGAUCUAGCACAUGUGUGACUAUCUUGUGUUGGUUUAGUGAUUCUCCCGUGCUUUCCCUUGUGUUUCCCCUUGUUUCUGCCUUGUGUUCUUUGUGUUCAUCGCGGGAUCCGCUCCUUUCGUGAAAGAUCGGCCGAUUAGGGCUCUACCCUACAUCACAUAGUACAACGAUGAGACAAUGCAUCAGUAAUAACAUUUUCUUUACCCUUCUUGUAUUUAAUGACAUAAGGGAAAGUCUCAAUGAAUUCAACCCAUUUAGCAUGUCUACGGUUCAGUUUUGCUUGACUUUUAAUGUGUUUCAACGAUUCAUGAUCAGAAUGUAAAACAAAUUCCUUGGGCCAUAAAUAAUGUUGCCAUGUUUCUAAGGUCCGAGCAAGAGCAUAUAAUUCUUUAUCAUAAGUAGAAUAGUUCAGACUAGGCCCACUCAAUUUUUUAGAAAAGUAUGCAAUAGGUUUGCCAUCUUGUAAUAAAACACCUUCUAAUCCAAUUCCACUAGCAUCACAGUCAAGCUCAAAAUUCUUAUUAAAAUUAGGAAGUUGGAGUGAAGGAGCAUGUGUCAACUUAUCUUUCAAUAGCGUGAAGGAUUCUUCCUGUGCGGUACCCCAAACAAAAGGCACAUCCUUCUUUGUAAGCUCGUUGAGAGGUGAAGCAAUGGUGCUGAAAUCUCUCACAAAACGACUAUGCAAACCAGCGAGGCCAAGGAAACUCCUCACUUGUGUGACCUUUUUGGGCUGUGGCCAACUCUCAAUAGCUUCAAUCUUGGCUUUAUCAACUUCAAUUCCCUGUGGAGUAACAACAUAGCCAAGAGAAGAUACUCGGUCGGUGCAAAAGGUGCACUUUCGAAGGUAACCAAACAAACAUGCAUCACAUAGAGCAGUAAAAACAGCACGUAAAUGUUCCAAAUGUUCCUCCAAAGAUUUACUAUAAAUCAUUAUAUCAUCAAAAUAGACUACCACAAAUCGUCCAAUGAAAGCACGUAAAACUUCAUUCAUUAACCUCAUGAAAGUACUAGGUGCAUUAGUUAACCCAAAAGGCAUGACAAACCACUCAUAUAAACCAAACUUAGUUUUAAAAGUAGUUUUCCAUUCAUCGCCCAAUUUCAUAUGAAUUUGAUGGUAUCCACUACGCAAAUCAACUUUGGGGAAUAUUGUAGAGCCACUCAAUUCAUCAAGAAUGUUAUCUAGCCUAGGAAUAUGAUGACGGUAACGAAUACUAAUAUUAUUAAUGCCUCUACAAUCAACACACAUACGCGAUGUACCAUCCUUUUUCGGCACUAGAAUAAUAGGAACAACAAAAGGACUAAGGGAUUCGCGAAUAUAACCUUUGUCGAGUAGCUCCUGGACUUGACGCAUAAUGACCAUCGUCUCCUCUGGAUAGGUACGGUAUGGUGCACGGUUGGGUAGCGAAGCACCGGGAAUUAAGUCAAUCUAAUGCUCAAUCCCUCGAAUAGGUGGUAAUCCUGAUGGCACGUCUUGUGGAAAGACGCCAGCGAACUCCUGCAAAAUGUUAGUAACAACAGGAGGCAAAGAUGAAGGCAUGUCCUCGAAUGAAAAUAAUGCCUCUCUGCACACAAAAUCAUAGCAAACAGAUUUGCUGAAAUCUAGAUCAUCAAUAUCAGAUUUGGUGGCAAGUAAACAUGCACUUUUCAAUUUAAUUUCAGAAGCAACAGUAGAUGGUUUAUUAUUAGGCUUCAUGUGUUGCUCAAAUUCUUUUGCCACAAUCUGAUUUUCACUCUUGUUUUUCUCCUGUUUUGCUUUAUUAGCUCUAUUAAUACCAUCUUUCAAAAUGGAAUCAGGAGUCAUAGGAAGCAAAGUAAUAUUUUUAUCCUUAUGAACAAGAGUAUAUUGAUUGUUUCUACCAUGGUGUACAGA
This 51235-nucleotide long non-coding RNA is filed under the name Triticum aestivum (bread wheat). RNAcentral's name for it is "long non-coding RNA (TAES_LNC001538)". Lineage: Eukaryota; Viridiplantae; Streptophyta; Magnoliopsida; Poales; Poaceae. The record is from RNAcentral.